AGUUGUAUUGUAUGUUUAGCCUAGACUUGCGUUUAAACUUCUAAUUGCAUUCCUAAAAUUUUUGGAUUUUCUUUGUAUUAACAACUACUAUUAUCAACUAAAAUUGAAGACUAAAUUGUACUAAAAGAAUAUUGCUUGGUUGUAACUAAUAGGAAGAACGGCACUAGGGUCAUGGCAUCACCUAGGUAGUUAACAAACGGUUAAAACUACUAGUAAUAGAUAAAAAUACAUGAUUUAUGCUAUAACUGUUGCACAAUUGUACCCACUCUUACACCUUUCGGUAGAGAAAGUGAUUUUUCCCGAUUGACUCUCUCGAGACCAAUUGAGUAGGCCUAUUAGACCAAGAAACUAGGGUUCAAGUGGGGUGAUUACUCUCUUGAGAUAUAACCCAUUAAUUGGAACUACAAUUUCUCGUGGGUUCAUCCCAAUUCCUUGUUGGGUCAAUUUUAUGGUCGAAGACUCUCUUUCUCAAGAAGAGUCAAAAUCCACUAAGCUUGGAUCAGUAUUCGCAACCGUGAACUUAAGCAUAAAAUUACCCAAAUAGCAAAUACCCAAUAGCUAUCUAUCAUUAGAAAGCAACAUUCAUCAAUUACCCAUACUAGGGUUGAGCCACAACCCUAGCUAAUGGGUUUAGUUAGAUAUAAUUAAAGAAGAAUCAGAAGAAAUAGAAGGAGAAAUAGACAUAAUAAUUAAUUACUAAGAUUAAAUUGCAAGAAUCUAUGGAGAAAUUAAUGCUAAAAUGCAAAAAUUAGCUAAAAUUUCCGUCCUCACGAGCGCAACUGCGUUUAGUAAAAUAAAGCCUAAAAACUUCCUCUAAAAAAGGUAAAAUGUUCUAUUAUAGUGGGCUGGAAAAAUUGGAUAAAAUUGCCCCUACGAGGUCAGUGCAUGCCGAACAAUUACGACCUCAGCCACACUGGCUCUUUGGCUUCAAUUUCUAUCUUCUCUGAAGUGGCUGGAGCGGACUGCGUAAAGGUGUGGCACGGCCACAUGAAGGCCUGGCGCAGACCGCAAAAUGGUGACCGCGGUCGCAUGGCUUUCCUUUGCUAAAAUUUCUAUCUUUUCUGAACCUUGUGAUGUGGGCCGCAUGCCAUAAUAAUGUGACUGCAUGAGCUAGACGCGGGCCAUAAAUUAACCGCGGCUGCGUUACGUAGGACUUGAUCAUACUUUUCUCUGAACCUUUUGAUGCAGGCUGCAUGUCAUAGUAGCACGGCCGCGUGAGCUGGGCGCGAGCCGCACAUUUCCAACCGACGCCGUGUUAUUUAAUACUUGGUCAUACUCCUGCGAAUCCCCUAGUGCGACCGCAUGCACAAUUGUGCGGUACGCACUAGGCUCCUCGUUCUACCACUUCACUUGGCCUUUGAUACCUGAGCAGCUUUCACUCCGUUUUGAGCCAAUCUUUGACACUUCGUCACUUUGUCGCUCAAACCUGCAAUCAAGCGCAACUAUAAGCAUUUUAGGGCUAUUUUGUAGCAAAUUAUACUCAAAGCAUAGGCAAGUAGGGGCAUAAAACACGUUAAACUCAUGCUUAUCAACUCCCCCAAAGAUAAACCUUUACUUGUCCUCAAGCAAACAAAAUAAUGCCCACCCCUUAAAGAAAACAUCCAAGUAAUUCCAGCUAUCCUAAGGUAACCUCAACAAGCAUCAAUUGGGAUUAACAACUGCCCUCAAUACGAAUGUAUCAUUAACACAUCUAGACUUUAAUAACUUGUGGAUCAAGUGUGACACAAGAGCAUCAAGAGUUGACACAUUUCAUCAAGGAACUUCUCUCAAUAGCUUUGGUCAUUGUGGAACCCAAACUCAUACGUCCUCAACUCUCCCUUAGCAAACCUCACCUUUUAGAGUAUUGACCUACAUAGAAUGCAUUAUUAACACAUUUAGACUUUGAAAACAUGUGGAUCAAGUGUGACACAAGAGCAUCAAGAGUUGACAUAUUUCAUCAAGGAACUUCUCUCAAUAGCUUUGGUCAUUGUGGAACCCAAACUCACACGUUCUAGACUCUCCCUAAGCAAACCUCACCUUUUAGAGUAUUGACCCAAAAACCGAGGUCGGUGGACUUUUACUCAUCUAUCUCAAUAAGGAAGUCGCAAGUCCGUCUCCAAGUACCAUAUGCUCGCCCCUUAGGUAAGUAUCCACUAAUGUAGUUUCUCUUCAACUCAAGAUCAUAUAGGCUUUUGUGGAGUCAUUGUGAAGGCUUUUGGGUAAGGGUAGGAUAUGUUCGUGUUCUAGUGAGUGCAAUCUUCCCUUAAGCACUUCUAUUGAUUUAUUUUUGGCACACUUUCUUGACUAAUUUGAGUAUUUCACUUCCCUUCAAGGGUUAGAGGGACACACUGCCAGUCUUUCUUAUGCAAUUCGAAAUAAUUCUCCUUUUUCUACUUGUUUCAGCCUUUUUCACUUUUAUGUUUCUUGAAUCCCCCUUAUUUUUUUAUAUUGGAUUUCCUUUUCAUCUUUUUCUUCUCUCUUUUUCAUUGCCUUCCUUUUAUUUUUAUUUGUACCUUUUUCCACUUUGUUUCCUUUCUUGUCUCCAUCCCAAACUUAGGCAUUUUCUAUUACUCAAGGGAAGAUUUGGGUGCAAAGAGAGGGUAUCAUUAAGAGCGAGUAUAGGCGUGUAGCAUUGGUUCUCGAAAGAAAAAAGUUUCAAGGCUCAAAAGCGUUAACUAGGGAUCAUUUCAUUGGUAGGCCGUGGAAUUUUUUAACUUAGAAUUUGGUUCGAGGAGAGCCUACAAUCACUUCUCAAGUCAAAUUUCACCUAGGAUUCGCCUCAAUGAACUUUCAGGGCAAGUUCUCGACCAUCGGCUCGGGAAUUGGACUCAUAGUUCGAGUUCUCAUCACACACACUCAAGGAUUGUUAAAGCCAUCGAGUCGGGGGUCCACAUCACCUUAAUUUCGAUUCAAGCGCACAGUGGUCCAAAAUGACCACAUGAUGACUUUUUGGUCAACACAAAAGUCUCAGGGCCAUAACUUUCACCAUCCUAAUCACAACAUUAUGUCUUUGAUCAUGGGAUUAAAGGAAAAUAUGUUAGGCCCAAGUGAAGCCUUGCCUGAGGUACCCUUAACUACGAAAUAUCAAAAUCAAAAGAAAAAAAUACAAAAACAGACUCAAAUCCUUAAGAAGGUUGUCACGUCAUCUAUCAUUGGGAAGAUCCACCCGGUUUGCACAACACUUCGCCCUUGGAAAGAACCGUGGCAUUAAGAAAACCAAAGUCUUAUAAUAAACGCCAAAACAAAACAAAAGGUUAUGAGCCUAUCUAUGAAUUUAAGAACGAGAAAAUUUUACGAAAAUAGAAAAACCGAAUGAAUAUAAACAAUGGGGGAGUAGAAUAUACAACGAGGGAUGAAUAUAUACAUAAAGUAACUUUAUAUACAGNNNNNNNNNNNNNNNNNNNNNNNNNNNNNNNNNNNNNNNNNNNNNNNNNNNNNNNNNNNNNNNNNNNNNNNCACUUGACUAAAUAUAUACAUAAAGUAACUUUAUAUACAGACCAUGAUAAAAAGUACGAGAAAAGUAAAUGUAAGUUAUGUACAGACCAACUAGAAAAUCAAAUUAAAAAUAUAAAAGGAGUAUCUAAUAUAGACAAUCAUCCGAAUAGAUAAACAGUAGGGCGCACCCCUACGAAUAAGAAAUGGCAUUGUCCCAAAUUCCAACUACCAAAAUAAGAAUACAAUAUCAAAAGAAAGGAUAUAGAGGGCUCCCUAGGCCUGGUCCGUAGGCGUGGUGUCAACAGUGGUCCCCUGGUCCUCUGUAUGGGCGGUAACCUCAAACUGGUUCCCAGCUUGAUGCUGCUCUGUUGCUAGAAUAGGGUCAUGCUGCUAGAUCAGCUGAAUAUCGGGUGUAUUACUGGAGGGAGUCUCCUGGAUCUCAGCAAGCUGAAUCACUAGACCCUCAGUACUAGGCAACUUCCUCUUCUUCCUUGGAGGUCUGGAUGCCUACUCCUGCUGCGGCUCUAGAACUGGUGCUGCUGGUGGAGGGGCUGAGUCCACAAAUAACAUGUCUAAAGCCAGCUGAUCUGCCAAUAGCUUAUUCAUAUCUGUUCGAAGCACCUGUGCUGACUCAAUGGAUGCCCUUGUCUUCCUCAUCUUUUUGUGCUCUCGGGCGAGCUCUUUUAAAGUUACGCCAUGAGACUCUACCGUCUUUGUCAAGGUGGCCUGAGUCUCUAUAAUCUUCUCCUGGUUGGCCAGGAUCUUCUUCAAUGUUUCCUCAGGAGACUGAGGAAUCUGGACAGUGGCUGGUGUAGAAUGGGCCUCAACUGAUGUGGUCAAUGUGGACAACUUGGAUGUCGCAACUGACAUCCAGCUGUUUAAACUGGCCAAGGUCUUUGCUAAGUGCUAAGCUGUCACAGGGUUGGCACGGGAAGAUGGGACAGUUGGGCCAACUGAAGAACUAGGACCCGCAAAGGAAGAUGGCACAUCAUCUGGGACAGAGACAAUUUGAAUAGAGCGGAGCGCAGUAGAAGGCUUGACAGUAGACUCUAACGCAAUUGGCUCCUCAAACUGGCCAGUUGGGGCAGGGGUGGAUGCCUUGUGCUUUUUGUCCUUUGGGUUGUCCGAGCCCUGAAUGCUGAACCAUGAGAACGGGGACACUAGGCGCAGUAUCACAUCACAGGACUUUUUCUUCACCUUCAAGUCUUGGAAAUACAGCGUUAGAGUGUUGGGUAUGGGUAGUCCAAGUGUUGUCCACCCCCAUUGAAGUGAUAUCUAUGUACAUUAUAUUCCCUACAUUGAUACGGAAGCAAGCCAUGAUGGAUGCAGUCGGCACACCCCGGAGGAUUGGGAUAGUCUGGUCAUCGGAAGUAGGGUCAAACCUGUUGCAUACAAAAUUGAUCCACCCUCUAGCCUUGAAAUUCAAGUUCUUCCUCAAAAUCUUUACCCCCGCCUGUAUCCAAUCUGGAAACCCACCCGGAUGAGCCAAAUAUUCAGCCAACCAUGGUCGAACUUCCUCUUUUAUCUCCAACUUCUCUAUGUAUUGGGUCUCAUCUCGUCGUUGAAACCCAAAUAUCUAUUCAACGUAGUCCCUGAAAACACCACAGUUUUGUUGCGCGCUUUGGACACAGCGGAGUCCUUUUUGGUGUAGGCUACGUUGCAAUAGAACUCCUUGACCAUGUGCUCGUUUGCAUCAACCAAAUCAUCUCUAAAAUGCUCCCACCCGAAUCUUGUGUGAAACUGCUGGUGCACAUUCGGGAGAAUGGGUAAUAAGUCUCGGGUGAUUAUGCUCCUCUCCGAAAUAAAUUUUUGUUUUGGCCACAUCUCUCGAAAUUUGUGGAAGUCCACUUGACUAACAAAACCAUCCUCCCAUACUUCCGCUUUUCUUGUUCUUUCUACACCACCAACCUCGAGCACCCCACCACCAGGGACCUCAUCAUCACUAUUGGUCCCACUUGUUGAACUCUCCCCGGAUAUUGAACUUGUGGGAGAGGUGGAGUAUUCGCUGCUCCCCGCUGCUGAGCCAUCAGAUGACUCAGACUGUACAACUAGUGGAGCUUGGGCGGAAGGUAGGGGUGUUAGUUUUGUUUGUUUUCCUUUUCCUCCCGGGGAGGAGUCCCCUCAACCAGGUUGUUUAUCACGUCCUCUUAGUUUAACCAUUAUAUGCAAGCAAACAUGUCUAACUUUGUUAGUUGAAGCAUAAGCAGUGUGCAAAGUGUUCAAAAUAAGUGCAGAGUAACAGCAGGCAUAAUUGAAGAACACCUCUCAGAACAAGCCACCGCGGACCGCACAUUCUGGUGUGCGGCCACCUGGGAGGCACCGCAAGCCACGUGAUCACGACCGCGGGCCGCACUGACUAAUAAACAAAAACUUACCUACUCUGUAUCUCACUAACACGGGCCGCAUGAAAAAAGGGUGCGGCCGCAUUGGUCCAGCGCGGACCGCACAAAUACGGAUGCGGAUGCGCUGGAAACAACUAGCUUUUUAGAUCAAGGUCCAUCGUGGACUGCGCCAAUAAGUGCGAGCCGCGCUGGGUGAUGGAUUAGGAACAAAUUAGGGUUUUACAUAUUUGCCUGUUUUGUUCAAGUUUUACAUCCUAAUUUUUCCCUACCCGAUUACCCACCAUACAAUUCACGCCCAACAUCUAAAACAAACAAAUAAAUUAACCUAAACACUCAAUUCAAGCAAAAACGGAAGAACAAAUAAGCUAUGCUACUGGGAAAUGACAAAUUUGAAAUGAACAACUAAUUAAUUAUCAUUGUGAGAAUUUUUUACCAGGAAUAUAGAGACUCAACUCUUGAUGCAAGCACACAAUUAGAGUCUUAGAGGUGAACAGUGAAAUUUGAGGGUUCUGGUCUGCGAUUUGGCAAAACGAUUACACAGAUGCCCUAAGCCCCUAUUAAUAGAAAACUUGUGGGACCUUGUACGUACCAUUCAGCACAACCGCGUAAAAAUGACCGCGGACCAUGCUGGGUCUCACCCUGUACCUUUGCAGAAAGAAGCCCUCGCGGGUCGCACAAAAAUGGACACGGCCGCCAGAGACCACCGCGGACCGCUCAAUCAUGACUGUGGCUGCGUGGUGAGCUUCAGAGAUCAAUCAUCUUCAGCUUCUUCCGGCGCGGACCGCACAAAUCUUACCGCGGGCACUAACAAUCUUCAGAGUUUGUGCAUUUUUACACUUUGCUUUACACUUUUCAACACAAGUCAUGCAACAUCUCACAAACAAUUAGCUUUAAAAUCCUAAUCUACAAAGAAAAUAAAAAAGAAAUAAAAAUACAUGGGUUGCCUCCUAAGAAGCACCUGAUUUAACAUCAUGGCACAACGUAUGUUACCACCACAUCAUUUUUAAAAAUUAGCGCCACCACGUGACUCUCAUCAAACUUUCCCAAAUAAUGCCCAUUAAUCCAAAAAAUUUCACCUUUCUUGUUCUUGAGAUCAAGAGCACCAUAAAAAGUCACACACAAAACUUCGAAUAGCCCACUCCACUUUGACUUGAGCUUUCCAGGGAAUAACCUCAACCGAGAGUUGAAAAGAAGAACCAUAUCACCAACAUUGAAUUCUUUCCCCCGAGCGUAUGUGUCGUGGAGAUACUUCAUCUUGUCCUUAUACAAGGACGAGCUGGAGUAUGCGUGAAAUCUAAACUCAUCAAGCUCAUAAAACUGCUCAACACGGAGAUUUGCUGCGACAUCCCAUUCCAAGUUCAACUUCCUCAAGGUCCACAUAGAUUUGUUCUACAAUUACACUGGUAAGUGACAUGAUUCCCAAAUGCCAAACAGUACGAAGACAUACCAAUUGGGGUCUUGUACGCGGUUUGGUAGGCCCAUAGAGCAUCAUCUAACUUUUUGGACCAAUCCGUCCGAUUUGUAUUGACUAUUUUGGAUAAGAUGCUCUUUAUUUCUCGGUUAGAGACUUCCACUUGGCCACUGGAUUGAGGAUGAUAGGCGAUUGUCACUUUGUUAUUUACUCCAUACUUGGCAAGAAAAGAGUCAAAAGCCUUGUUUCAAAAGUGGGAUCCCCCAUCACUAAUGAUAGCACGAGGAAUGCCAAACCUUGUAAAGAUAUACUUUUCAGGAAUGCAACAACACUUCGGGCUUCAUUGUUGGGUAAAGCCACGACUUCAACCCACUUUGAUACAUAGUCCACCGCCAUGAGUAUGUAAGUGUUCCCACAAGAGCUCACGAAAGGACCCAUGAAAUCGAUGCCCCAAACAUAAAAAAUAUCUACCUGAAGAAUCAUAUUGAGGGGCAUCUCAUCCCUUUUUUAGAUUCUGCCAACUCUUUGGCGUGCAUCACAUCUCUUUACAACCCCACGAGGAUGUAAGUAUUCCCACAAGAGCUCAUGAAAGGACCCAUGAAAUCGAUACCCCAAACAUAAAAAAUAUCUACCUCAAGAAUCGUAGUGAGGAGCAUCUCAUCCCUUUUUGCGAUUCCGCUGGUUGUUUAGCAUGCAUCACAUCUCUUUACUAAAUCACUAGCAUUUUAAAACAACGUCAGCCAAUAGAAACUGCAACUCAAGAACUUUGAAGCCGUCCUCACCCCUCCAUGAUCCAAGAAUCGUGGUAAGGGGAAUCUCAUCCCUUUUUGAGAUUUUGUCGGCUCUUUGGCAUGCAUCACAUCUCUUUGCUAAAUUACUAGUAUCUUUAAACAAUGUCGGCCAAUAGAAACCGCAACUCAAGACCAUUGAAGCCGCUCUCGCCCUUCCAUGGUGAUCACCAUAAGGAGAGGAGUGAUAAGUCUCCAAAAUGCUCAAUUGUUCACCUUCUGGGACACGUCUUCUAAUUAUACCAUCCGUGUAAAUAUUAAAUAAGUACGGAUCAUCCUAAUAAAAAUCUAAACUAUCCUGCUUGAGUUUCUUCCUUUGGUUGGAAGAGAGCUCACAUAGGACAGUUCCGGUUGCAAUGAAGUUUGCAAUGUCCGCAAACCAUGGCAUGUCACCCAUUGACACGAAAAGAAGUAGCUCGUCGGGGAAUGUGUCGUUUAUUUCAAGGCCGUCGCAUGGUCUCCCUUCUUCCUCCAACCAAGACAAAUGAUCUGCAACUUGAUUCUCAAUUCCAUUCCGGUCCACUAUUUCUAAGUCAAAAUCUUGGAGAAUUAAUACCCAUCUCAUCAAUCUCGCCUUGGAAUCCUUCUUGGUCAUCAAGUACCUCAAGGCGGCAUGGUCCAUGUGCACAAUUACCUUUGCCCCCAUAAGAUAUGGCCUACAAUUUUCCAUAGCAAAUACAAUAGCCAAAAGUUCCUUCUCCAUCACCGUGUAAUUACAUUGAGCUUCAUUCAUCGUCUUGCUUUCAUAGUACACGGGAUGAAACAUUUUUCUAAGUCGUUGACCCAACAUCGCCCCUACCACAACAUCAAUUGCGUCUCACAUUAAUUCAAAGGACAAAAUCCAAUUGGGCGCGGUGAUAAUAGGAUUUAUGGUCAACUUGUGAUUCAAUAGUUCAAAGGCCUCCAUGAAUUUUUCAUCAAAAACAAACAUGAAAUCUUUCUCUAGCAACUUGCAAUGUGGAUUCACAACCUGUGAGAAAUCUUUGAUGAAUCGCCGGUAGAAUCCAGCAUGCCAAAGAAAACUCCUCACCCUUUUUAUAGAAGUAGGGGAUGAAGCCUCGAGAUCACCUUAAUUUUGGCCUUAUCUACCUCAAUCCUGUGCUUAGAGAUCUUGUGACCCAAUACUAUACCAGCAUCCGCCAUGAAGUGGCACUUUUCCCAAUUGAGAACAAGAUUAGUUUCUUCACAUCGGGCCAAGACUCUAUCCAAGUUUUCCAAUCAUUCUUCAAAUAAGUCACCAACCACACUAAAGUCAUCCAUAAAGACCUCCAAUAUGUCUUCCACCAUGUCAGUGAAAAUGGCCAUCAUGCAACAUUGGAAGGUCGUCGGAGCAUUGCAUAGCCCAAAUGGCAUCCGGUAAAAGGAAAAUGUACUAUAUGGGUAUGUGAAAGUGGUCUUUUUUUUUGUCCUCCGGGGAAAUUAGGAUUUGCUUAGAGCCCAAAUACCUGUCCAAAUAACAAUAGAAAGCUCGUCCUCCAAGGCGGUCAAGCAUUUGGUCCAAGAACGGCAGUGGAAAAUGAUCCUUCCGAGUUACCUUGUUAAGUUUACGGUAGUCCAUGCAAACUCUUCACCCGGUAAUGGUUCGAGUCGUAAAAUCUCAUUGUUGGAAUUGGUUACCACCGUCAUUCCUCCUUUAUUGGUCACGCAUUGGACUGGGGAGGUCCAUGAGCUAUCGGAGAUUGGAUAAACCACACCGGCGUCAAGCCACUUCAUAACCUCUUUCUUUACCACUUCUUGCAUUGCUUCAUUUAAUCUUAUUUGAUGUUUAAUUGAAGGCCUUUCAUCCUCCUCCAAGAUGACUUUAUGCAUGCAAAAUGCGGCGCUUAUUCCCUAAAUAUCAGCCAAUGUCCACCCAAUCGCCUUUUUGCGCUUUUGAAGAACCGCCAAAGUGGAGUCAACCUGCAUGUUACUCAAGCAAGACGAAAGAAUAAUAGGUAAACAAGAAUUUGAACCCAAGAAUUCAUACUUGAGGUAUGGAGGAAGGGGCUUCAACUCCAACACUGGUGGCUCCUCAAUCGAUGGCUUCGUUGGGGGAGUUUUGUAGUUUUCAAGAUCCAAAGAUAACUUUCUAGGCUCAUAUGAAUAUGAGCCCAUGCCAUUCAAUGCAUUCACACACUCUGCUCUACCGGCAUCCUCAUUGACAUCCAUGUUAAAAAGCACCACCUCAAGAGAAUCUUCAACAUUUAUCAUGGAACCUGUGUCAUCCACUAUCACAGCUGUGACAAUGUCCGCAAAUGAACACACCCCUGUGCUAUUGGGUUGUCUCAUUGAUUUGCAAACAUGGAAUACCAAAUUCUCAUCACCCACAUAGAAUGUCAACUCUCCCGCAUCAACAUCAACCAAUGCCUUCCCCGUAGUUAGGAAAGGUCUUCCCAAAAUAAUCGGCACUUCAAAAGUCCACCUCACAAUCCAAUAUGACAAAGUCGACCGGCAAUAUGAAUUUAUCAACAUGAACAAGAACAUCAUCAAUUAUGCCCAAAGGUCUUUUCAUCGAUUGAUGUGCCAUUUCAAUUCUCGUGGAGGUUGGUCUAGGUCGCCCGAUUCCCAAGGUCUUGAAAACCGAAUAAGGCAUCAAAUUAAUACUAGCCCCCUAGUCACAAAGGGUUUUUGCAAAGUCGGCACUUCCAAUGGUACAAGGGAUAGUAAAUGCACCGGGGUCCUCAAGUUUGGAGCCAUAGAAUGUACAAUUGUGCUCACUUGAUGAGUCAUCUUGAUUAUCUCACACUCCAUUGACCUCUUUUUUGUAACCAAAUCCUUUAUGAACUUUGCGUAUCCAGGCAUUUGCUCGAGUGAUAGAAUGUACAAUUGCACUCACUUGAUAAGUCAUCUUAAUUUUCUCACACUCCAUUGACCUCUUUUUCGUAACCAAAUCCUUCAUGAACUUUACGUAUCCUGGUAUUUACUCGAGUGCCUCUACCAAAGGAAUGUUGAUUGUUAGACUCUUCCUCAUAUCAAUGAAUUUCUUGAAUUUGUUGUCACCCUUUUGCUUGGCCAAUCGUUGAGGAUAGGGCGGAGGAGGCCUAGGCACUGGUGCCUUGGGUUGGGGCACCACCAGCUCAAGAAUAUCAGUCACGUGUUCCCUAGAUGGGUUCACGUCCUCUUGUGUCUCCUCCUCAACCUCAUUAAUAUCAAUCCGCACAUCAUUGUUCACAUUGGGUUGGCACACGUGUUCCCUAGGUGGGCUCAUGGCCUCUUGUGUCUCCUCAUCAACCUUAUUAAUAUCAAUCGGCACAUCAUUGUUCACAUUGGGUUCCACCACAUCCUCAACCACCAAAGGCAUAUCAUCAUCUCGCAACUCAUCCUCAUCAACCAUGACUUGCUUUUCUAUUGAGUCAUGCAAAUCACCGCCUCUUCUACUUCGCGUUGUCACCUCCAUCACAUGAUUGAUGUUCCUGCUCUUAGGGUUUACUACUGUAUCACUUGGUAGAGCACCCUUCGGGUGAGUAUUUAACAAUUGAGAGAUUUGACCUAGUUGAAUUUCACAUUUUCGAAUAGAGGUAUUGUGGGAGGCCAAUUGAGCAUCGGAGUCUUGGUUCUUCUUAUCAUUUGUUCGAACAUCAUUUCUAUUCUCACCAUAUCACUACCCGACGAACUAGACCCUUGACAUUGAAAAGGGGGUGAAUUGCUUGGUUAUUGGUACAUGGGGGGCCUUUGCGAACGUUACCCCUGUUUCUUUGAUUUCCACUAUUAUUCCACCCUCCUUGAUGGUUGUUAUUGCUCAAAUAAUUGUUUCUACCAUUCCAAUUGGCUCGAUUGUUACCUUGAUUACCCCAAUUGUUGCUUUGAUUGUUGUUGUUCCAAUUGCCACCCCCUUGUUGUUGGUUGUGACUAUUCCAAUUUAUGUCGCCUUGUUUGUUACCCCAAUUGUUGUUUUGAUUGUUGUUGUUACAAUUUCCACCACCUUGUUGUUGGUUGUUACCAUUCUAAUUUCCGCUGCCUUGUUGAUUUCCCCCAUUUCCUUGUGGACGCCAUUGUUGAUUCCCUUGAUUUCCUCCAUUUUCUUGGUAGUGAUUGACAUUCUUCGCUUUGAUCAUCAUAUCAUUCGAAUAACCACCACCAUCAUUGUUGUUGUCAAAUUUUUCUUAAUUACCUUGAGGUUGUUGUGCCCUCUAUUCCUCCUUUUCAACAUAGAAACACCUUCCAUUGCGUUGACUUGGUGUGGGUUUUGGACUUAUUGCAAUUGCGCUUUCGCCAAUUGAAUUAUUGUUGUUGUAAGCUCGACAAUAGCUUGGCCAUGAUCAUGCAAUUCCUUGUGCAAAUGUAUGACAUUAGGGUUACCUUGAGGAACAUUUUCUCGGCUUUGCCAUGCUGACGAAGUAUCGGCCAUUUCAUCUAAAACAUAAAAAGCUUCUAAAAAAUUUCCUCCGGCCAAUUGGUUCACAAUACAUUGGUUGGUCGUGUUGAUGCCCCUAUAGAACAUUUGUUGAAUCGUCGCCUCAGUCAUGUCAUUCUUAGGGCAUUCCUUCACCAUUAUUCUAUAUCUCUCCCAGAUUUCAUGCAAAGGUUCUGUUGGAUCUAGCUUGAAGGCUAAAAUUUCAUCCUGAAGUGCCACCAUAUGACUUGGUGAAAAAAACCUGCCAAUAAAUUUAUCUGCCAACUCAUCCCAAGUUGUGAUGGAAUAGUUGGGAAGCCUUUUCUAACCAAUCCAAUGCUUUAGCCCGAAGAGAGAAUGGGAAAAGCCUCAAUCUCAAAGCAUCCUCAGACACGUUUGUUUGCUUGCUACCCCAACAUGUAUCAACGAACCGCUUCAAGUGCGUGUAUGCAUUUUGAUCGUAGGUGCCCAUAAAAUACCCUCUUUGCUCGAGCAAGGUUAACAUGACAUUUGUAAUUUGGAAGUUACCCGCCCAGAAUCGGGGAGGAACGAUGGCACUUGCAUAUCUUUGAUUCGGGAGUACUCUUGGAGCCACUCUUGGCGGUGGCGGAGGAGGGUCUGGAAUAUUCUCAUUUAGAUACACAUUAGCAUUGGCAUUUCUACCUCUACGUGGAGCUUGAGGUAUAAGUUAAUCUUGAUCAAUAUCUUUAACCUCCUCCCCCGCCAUGGCAUUGCCAAGAGGGUCAUUUGCAUAAGAGCCAUUUGUACCAGAUUGAUUGACACAACAAAAUUAGUAAACAAGAAGGAAAGAGAAGCAAAACACAAAACUAGCUAGACAGAUAGCCAACACCGUAAGUUCGCUGGAAACGGCACCAAAAAGUGAUUGUUGCCGACUCAACACUACAUGAAUGUAGGUAGAGCGGGUCGCUUUAGCUUUUACCUGAAUAGUGGUUCAGGGUCGAAUUUCCACAGGGAGCUUGGAAUGGAGUGGUAUUGUCUGUUUAGCCUAGACUUGCAUUUGAACUUCUAUAUUGCACUCCUAAUAUUUUUUGUUUUACUUUGUAUUAACAAUUAUUAUUAUGAACUAAAAUUGAAAACUAAAUUAUGCUAAAGGAAUACUGCUUAGUUGUAACUAAUAAGAAGAAAUGCACUACGGUCAUGGCAUCACCUAGGUGGUUAACAAAUGGGUAGAAAUUAUUAAGAAUAGAUUGAUAUAUUCGAGAUUUAUGCUAUAACCGUUGUAACUUUGUACCCACUCUCACACCUCUCGGUAGAGAAAGUGAUUUUCCCCAAUUGAAUCUCUCAAGACCAAUUGGGUAGGCCAAUUUGACCAAAUAACUAGGGUUCAAGUAGGGUGAUUACUCUCUCGAGAUUUAACCCGUUAAUUGAAACUACAAUUUCUCAUGUGUUUAUCCCAACUUGUUGGGUCAAUUUUAGGGUCGACUCUCUUUCUCAAGAAGAUUCAAACCCCACUAAGCUGGGAUCAAUAUUUGCAACCAUCAAUCCUUAAUUUAAGCAUAAAAGUAACCCAAAUAGCAAAUACCCAAUAGCAAUCUAUCAUUAGAAAGCAACACCCAUCAAUUACCCAUAAUAGGGCUGAGCCAUAACCCUAGUUAAUAGGUUUAGCUAGACAUAAUUAAAAAAGAUCAUAAGAAAUUGAAGGAGAAAUAGACAUAAUAAUUAAUUACUAAGAUUAAACUACAAGAAUCUAUGGAGAAAUUAAUGCUAAAAUGCCAAAAUAGGCUAAAACUUCCAUCCACACGAGCGCAGCUCCGUUCAGUAAAAAAACCUAAAAACACCCUCUAAAAUGGUAAAAUAUUCUAUUUAUAGUGGGUUAGAAAAAUUGGACAAAACUUCCCCUGCAGUGUAAGUGCGGGCCGCACAAUUACGACCUCGACUGCACUGGCUCUUUGGCUUCAAUUUCUAUCUUCUCUGAAGUGGCUGGCACGGACCGCUUAAAGGUGUGGCGCGGCCACGUGAAGGUCUAGCGCGGACUACGAAAUGGUGCCCGCAGCCGCAUGGCUUUCUUUUGCUGAAAUUUUCAUCUUCUCUGAACCUUGUGACCCGGGCCGCAUUCCAUAAUAGUGUGGCCGCGUGAGCUAGAAGCGGGCCGCAUAUUUCCAACCGUGGCUGCAUUAUGCAAGACCUGAUCAUACUUUUCUCUAAACCUUGUGACGCGGGUCGCACGUCAUAAUAGCGCGGCCGCGUGAGAUGGACGCGAGCCACACAUUUCCAACCGCGGUCGUGUUAUUCAAGACUUGGUCAUACUCCUAUAAAUCCCCUAGUGCGGCCGCAUGCACAAUUUUGCGGUCCGCACUAGGCUCCUCUUUCCACCACUUCACUUGGCCUUUGAUACCUGAGUAGGUUUCACUCCGUUUUGAGCCAAUCUUUGACACUUUGUCACUUUGUCGCUCAAAUCUGAAAUCAAGUACAACAGUAAGCAUUUUAGAGCUAUUUUGUAGCAAACUAUACUCAAACCAUAGGCAAGUAGGGCAUAAAACACGUUAAACUCCUACUUAUUAUUGUUCUAGCAACAUUUGAGGAUGAAUAUUUUUAAGGAAGGAAGAUUGUAAAACUCCUCAAAUCUAUAAAUAUUUUAAUACACACUAAUUAUUUAAUUUAAUUUUUUUCCAUCUUACUCCUAAACACAAAAGUAUUAUACUCUUACUACUAAUUUAAACCCUUGUGAUUGACUUUUGAGUUACUUCUCUAUCAAUAAUCAAUUAGAUAUACAAAUAGGGGAAUAGUUAUAAUUUUAAUAUUAUUAAUUAUUAAAAGUAUGUAUCAUUAAUUAUCAGUUAAGUUAAAGAAAAUAAAAAAAGAAAAAGGCCUAAAGCCCAUAAAAUGGGUUGUUGGAACACAAAAGGCUUAAAGCCUUAAGAAAAAUAGAACCAAGUAUUGUAUAGUCACGCUAGAGGCAAAAAGGCUUAAAGCCUUGCGAGGAAUGAGAAACAAGGGUGGGAACAUACUUGCAAAGAAUUUAACAUAGCCAAAAAAAUCAAGAAGCGAGAAAUGGAGGCAGCGUUGCUUCUCGACUACUUCGGACCUUCUUUAGGCCGCGAUUAAGCUAAUUCUUUUAUGAGGUUAUAAGUUAUUACAUCAUUAUAUACUAGAAUCUAACACUUAAUGGGGUGAGUUCAUAGAAAAGUUUUACAAAAUAUCAAGAAUAUCCAUCCAAUACGAGUUAAGUAUUUGAUGUUACAAGAUAAAUUCUUCACUUUUAUUGAAUUUCUAUAAUGGGUUAAAGUUGUUAGAGGUAGUAAAGAAUUUCUUGAACAAGGCUUCACCCCAAAACAUAGAAAUUUAGAAGUUGAACAUAAAGUUCUUAGAGUUGACGAAAGAUUAAUAAUUUUGGGAAGUUGGAUACUUAUUAUGACUUAUUAUUGUAGUAUUUGAUCAUUGAGUUGAUUACAAGAAUUGGAUCUUACAUUGUUGCUGGGAAAAAGAAAUUGAGGUGAGUGGAUAUAACCCUUUAUUAAAGUUGUUCUACUCUCAAAAACAUGCCCAAAAAGUGUUUUAUAAACUUCUUUGAAGAGUCAACAUAUGCUUAAUUGGAACGAGUGAAUACAUGUUGACUAAGUAUAUUCUAGUUAAAGAUUAUAUAUUUUACUUGAGAAGUAUAAUCAUCUUUUUUCAUAUUUUUAUGUUUUAUUACAUGAUCUUACAUGUUAAAGAUUGAAGAGUUAUGUAUAACUUAUAAAAAUACUUUGAGUAAUUUUAUGCAUGCUUAUGUUAUGCAUACACUCAAGAAUACUAUUAUGAAUAAUGAUGAUCACUUUCAAACAAGAUUCAGACUUGAAAAGUCGCAAGAACAAGUUAUAGAAAUAUGAGAUUUUUGGGAGUAUCCUCUAUCCUGAGAAGGGGCCAUUGUUCAGGCCGAUAGUUCUGGCCAAAGCAUUAACUUUCUGAAACUACUUAUGCCAAAGUAGGGAGCACACGAGCUCAGGGUCUUAUUGCUGAAAAUUUACUUAGCCAAACUAAGGUAUGAUAUAUGAACGGUGAGAACAAUAUAGCGAGUUGCAACUCGUGGAUUCGAUCAAGUUGGGAUCGAACCUGUGCCGAUCAUACGGUGACUAAGAAAAAAAUAAGUCAGGAUAGUCAGAACUCCCGAAGUAUAAAGUCAAGUAUUUUUAUAAGAAAGAAAAAGAAAAUAAAUUCUUUUAGAAUAUUCAUAAACCGCUAUUAUGCAAUUAUUUUAGAAUUGUUCUUAGAAACUUUAUAUUUUUCAUGCAUUUAGAAUAUUUGCUCGUAAUGUAUAUUUUAUUAAAGUUUCGUCCCCUGUCAUCAAGACUCACUAAGUAUAAUGGAUGGUACUGACACUCUCUUUUGGGAACCUACAUUGGUAUGCGGUAUGACGUAGGAACCGAUUUUGUAGGAGAGCCGACUACUGAUUAGGACUUAUCUCUCUUCCAUAGCUAUUAAUGAGCUCCGCUUUUUUCGUGGAGUAUUCCUUUAAGUCAUUUUUAUUUAGUUAUUUCAUUGUUUACUUGGAGAACUAGCCAGACAAUCUCAUGUCUAGAGCAGCGCGUCAGUUUAUCAAUAGAGGCUUCAUAAAUACAGUCGAGGAGUUAAACUCAGAUAUUUUUUAUAAUAACUUAGUAGUAUUUCAGUGGUUACUACGAUAAAGUUUUGGAGUUGGUUUAUUUUAGAUAUUAAAAUUAAUUAAAUGUAUUCAGUUAAAGUAUUGUCGUGUUGCAUAUAAAAUUUGAAAUAAUAAUAAACUUAAUAAGUGCAAAUAAUUCGUUCGAACAUAUUUAAUGAUCGAGUACCGAUCAGGACUUGUUUAGAAAAUGGGUCGUGACAUGUGUUAAGUGGAAAAAGAAAACACAAUUAAGAAUUAGGCCAGUUGCAACACUUUGUUUUGGAAAACCAUCAAAACAGUAAACAAUGAUACAUUAUAGGUGCAUAUCUGUCAAACUGCAUUUAUAGUUUUUUUUUUAAUGAAGCAUAAUUUAUUUUAAAUCUGGAGUUAAUCAUCAUUUUGAUAAAACAAUGAAAAUCGUAACUUGUAAAGAGCAACCCUUGGAGUAUGAGCUGCUUGUUGAUGAUAAAACCUAAUGAAAGAGGAAGGUCGAAGGCUUGUAUUAUAGUACGAGGAAACCACCUUUAAACAACUUUCAUAUAGUUUUAACAACUUGUCAAAUUAUCAAUGAUGGGCUAAAGGGAAAUAAUUGGCAGAAUUUUAACAUGAUAAUCCCAAAAUCUACGAUAAAAUUGUCUGAUAGCACUAAUGAUUUCCUACAGAUUAAUGUGGUAUUUUGCAGGUCCUAGAAGUUUAAGUACAAUUAUUUGCUGUUCCUUUUUGGUUUAGGUUAUGUGCUAUGCAAGUAGACCUGCUCGGCACAGACAAUCAUAAUUAUUCACUCAUAACCUGUCGAUUUAAUUUUAAUAACAAACAUAUAGACUUAACAAAAAAAUUAUGUCUUAGACCCCUUAACAUAAUUAUAACGCCAUGUUGUAGGAACUCAUCUGACAAAGUUAAUUCUCCAUUAUUUUCUCUGGCCUGUCGAGGUAUAUAUAUCAUUCAAUUGAUUCCGGUGCUUCAUUAUUCUCCGAUGAAUACAUCAUCUACUGUUUAGGCCGGUGUAACUUUAUGUUCUAUAGGCCACCAAAAAGGUGAUGCUUACUGAUGGUCCUACGGUAUGGGGUAAAAUAUGCUAUGCUAGGUGACCGUUAAAAGAAUAUUAUGUGGAAUUGAAGCAAAUUUUUUCAUUUGGUAGAGGAAGGAAUUAUUUUCAUAAAGAGGCAAUAAAUACUCACUGCCUGGUGGUAUUAUUGAAGAAUAUUCCAUAAUAUUAAGUACACUGCAUGUUACGAGGAUUUACAUUUAUGUUCACUGUUACAUCUUCAUCAAUUACCCUCAUAAUUGAAAAAAGGGAAUGAUCUUAGGACCUUGUUCCCUAGACGAGCCAUAAAUGGUGAACUAUGUUAUCAUUGUGAGAGAGAUGUUUUUUCUAGCGAAACUGAUACUAUAAUCUAUUCUAAGCUCUAUACAACUUUGUCUUUCUAUUUUUUGGUUCUUACAAUUGUUGCUCCCAAAAUCACUAUUUCUGCUAUUUCAUCUUAAUAUCGAGGCUAAAUAUUACAUGUUUCUUCAAUUAUUUCAUUAUUUCAUUAUUUCAGGAUCGAGUUAAUUCACUUGUCUAGAAAUCAUGUAUAAAUUUAACUGGCGUGCUUAACAAAUAAAUAGUUUGGCGCACACCGUGGAGCCUGGACAAUCGUCCAAUUAAGUUGAUCUUUGCCUUUUUUACUAACGUAUUUUUAUUAUGUCUCUUAGAAAAAAUCAUAAGAAAUGAAAGAUAACAGUGUCAAAUGCACACUAUCCUAAGACGAAGCGAUCAACCUCAUUUCGAGGAUUCAAUCAAUGACACCCGCAUUGAGGGGAACGAUUCCACCCCUGUCCACAAUAGGAGAUACCCGCGACAUAUUCAGGAGGCAACUCCCGAUGAUGCUGAAUAAGGACCAUGUUGUUGAUGUUUAAGGGUCAUAUAAGAGCAACAAGCAAUUAUUUUGGACCAUCUCACAUGGUAGGAUAAGGUUAUGAUGGAGUUGAGAUAAGUGUUAUGAGGGCUUCCAAUAACACAAAUUGAAGAGAUCCAGGUCCUCCCGGUGUUCCCAUAUAUCAAACAACUAAAAGGACCGACAACAACACCUUGAGGGGGAAUGUUAGCUCUGAUGGAGCUGAGGGAGCGCAUCUGGCCCGAAUAACGAAAAUGAUCCCUUCAAUAAUGAACUUUUUGGUUAAUGAGAGAAGUGAACUUCCGAAUGGACCAAAUUUCGGGUGCGACACCGGUGCUGAAAGGUCCAGAAUCAAUGAAGUAUACUCAAUUGUUGUACAAACUAAGCACGACAUCGAAGUUAAUCCCGAAGCUGUAUAAAAUGCCCGACGUGCCAAAGAAUCAUGGAGCUUCUGAGCAUAUUACCACCUAUACAAUGGCAGGAAAAGGGAAUUAUUUAGCUCCUUACGAGAUUGAAUUUGUUUUGCUAAAGAAAAUUAGAGAGAUUCUCACGAGGGGAGCUUUGACAUGGUAUUCGUUGUUACCCAAGCUGCCCAUAGAUUCCUAGGAAAUACUCGCAUAUGCUUUUACUAAGGAUCAUGCCGUAGCCAUAAAGGAACAUGCCCAUAAAGUAAACAUAUUCAAAAUUGUACAAGGAGAAUACAAGUUGUUGCGAAAAUGCGUUACCAGGAUCUAAAAGGAGAGGAUAUUACUCCCAGCUAUUCCAGAUGAAUGGGCGACUGAAGCAUUCACCAAAGGACUAAAUCUAUAAAGUUUAGCCUCUUCUCGAAAACUGAAGUAGAGUUCACUUGAGUUCCAAGAAACUACUUCGGUGGAUGUUAAAACUGGUACGAUGCACUAGUAAUUUCUUUUAAAUCUGCUAGACUUUUAAAAUUAAAUGUGUUUUAGUGUAUCCAGGAAGAUCAGCCAAUGUCAUACAAUGGAGAGUAUUGGAGCAAGCUAAACUCACCUGAAGGAUCAUUCCGACCAUAAAACUCCUCGCCAAUUCAACAUCGCAAGCAUGACAAUUCGAGGAGAUAUUUUGUUGCCCACGAACACCAAAGAACUGAUGAAAAAAACUCUUUUAUAGUGGUAGAUUGUGAUAUGGAAUAUAAAAUCAUUAUGGAAAGACCAUGGUUGCACGAGAUGAAAGCAGCACCAUCAAUAUAUCAUCAACUGUUGAUGUUUUUAAUGCCCCAAGGAGUGACACAGAUAAGGGGUAACACACCGACAGCAAAGGAGAUGACUGCAAGUUCAAUCUCUAGUAGCAAAAGGAAGGAACACAUGGCAUAGCAAGUACAGGAAUAGACGCCUACUCCCAAAUACGAUAAAGCUAGACCGGGGGUAGAAGCUUCUGGAUUUUAUCAGGUGCCGAGGUAUUUCUAGGUUCUAGAAGAGGCAGAUGCCACAAAAUCCACGGUGGAAUAGCUUGAAAAAGUUGCAUUGUUCAAAACGCUCAUAGAAAGGAAAUUUGACUUAUGCACAGGCCUGCACCCUGAGCUCAGGUCUGGCUUUAUUGAAUUUCUUAAAUCUAAUAAUGGCUAUUUUGCAUGGUCGCAUGCGGAUAUGAUAAGUAUACCGACGGAGCUAGUCGUACAUGAGGUAAGUUUGGAUCCCAACAUACCUCCAGUAAAAUAAAAGAAACACCCUAUUGUGGAAGCCAAGAAUAAAUUCUCAAAGAAGAGGUACUCGCUUACUUAAUAUCGAUUUGAUCCAAGAGGUAAAGUAUCCAGAAUAGCAAGCUAAUCUAGUCGUAGUUUCACGAAGAACAAUAAAUUUUGUGUGUGUAUAGAUUAUAAGGACAUGAAUAAGGUGUUUUUGAAAGACUCGUCCCCACUGCCAAACAUCUAUCAAAUGAUCGAUGCGACUGCUAGCCAUGAAUUAAUGAGUUUCCUCGAUGCUUAUUUUGGGUACAACCAAAUUAAGAUGAACCCAAAAGAUCAAGAAAAGACUUCAUUUAUAAUUAAUGUUUUCAUAUAUUUCUAUAAUAUGAUGCCCUUCGGGUUGAAAAAUGAUGGAGCCUUAGCAGCUCGUGAAAAAGAUGUUAAAAAAAUAGGAAAAACUAUGUAAGUUAAUAUAGAUUAUAUGCCCGCCAAGUCUUUGUAUGCAUUGAUCACCUUAAGCAUUUGUAACAAACGUUUUUCAUCUUGAGAAAGCAUAAUAUGGAGCUUAACUCCGAGAAAUGCGCGUUCGAGGUCAGCUUUAGCAAGUUUCUGGGAUUUUUGGUAUCGUAAAGGGGAAUUGAGGCAAAUCCCGAAAAGAUCAAGGCCAUCGAAGACAUCCUAGUCCAACUAUCAAGUGUGAAGGAAGUCCAAAGGCUCAUAGGGAGAUUGGCAUCUUUGAGCAGGUUAAUUUCCCGUCCAUUCCAAAAAUAUCACCAUUUCUUCGCACUGCUCAAAAAGAAAAACAACUUCGAAUGGACUCGGAAUGCUAGAGGGCUUUGAGAGAUUUGUAAAGGUACUUGUUAAGCCCUCUAUUACUUUCGAAACAAAAGGAAAAUGAAACAAUGUUAGUGUACCUUGUAGUCUCAAAAGUCGCGAUGAAUGAGAUUUUAAACCGUGGGGACAAAUGUAUGCAAACUCCAUUUAUUAUGUUUGUAAAAUUUUAACAGAAACAUAAAAUCUCUUUCCAUAUUUGAAGAAAUUUUCCUUACCUCUCGUAGUCGCUGCUCGAAAGCUGAGGCCCUACUUUCGAUGUCACUCAAUAGUCGUGGUGACAACUUUUACUCUGUGUAUCAUCCUUCAAAAACCCGAGCUCUCGAGUAGGUUGUCCAAAUGUUCCCGUCAAAAUAAGUUAGUUUGACAUACAAUGUAAACAGAGGACUAUAAUAAAAUCAAAAGUCUUGGCUAACUUUGUGGCCAAUUUUAGCGCGGGAUUACUACCUCUGGAAAACAAAGAGGGAGUAUUGGUGUUGGAAUUGACAUCAAAAAUUUGGACCCUAUUUACAGAUGGAUAUUUCAAUGUAAAAGAGUCUGGGCUUGGUAUAGUAUUAAUAACGCCUUCGGGGGAAGCCCUAAGGCAAACCAUCAGGAUGGUCCGUUUAAUGAACAAUGAAGUAAAGUAUGAAACUUUGAUUGCAGGGCUAGAACAGACCUCGGGACUAGAUUUUGAGGUCAUAUAAAUAAAUUUUGACUCAUAGCUGGUGAUAAAUCAGGUCUAUAAAAUCUUAUAAACCAAAGAGGACGGCAUGGAACAAUACAUAGUAAAGGUCCAGGCUUUGUUGGCUCAAUUUUGGGAGUGGACGAUUACUGAUGUCUUGAGAGAAGAAAAUGUAAAAGCAGACGCAUUGGCUAACCUCGGUUCAUCGAUGGAAAUGAAGGAAUUAGAGUCUUAGAUGAUAGUACAACUUAUGCACUCGGUCCUGGAUGCAGAUAGCUACUAUGAGGUAAAUAUGACUAAUUUGGUAUGGGAAUGGAGGAACAAAAUCAUCGGUUUUCUCGAGCAUGUGAAGCUGCCAAAGACUCCAAAGCGUGUUGGGUGCUGCACGCCAAAGCAGCACAAUAUUGCUUCAAAAGAGGCCAACUGUACAGAAAAUCUUUCCAAGGCCCACUGGCAUGAUGCUUGGAGGCAUCUAAAGCUAACUAUGUUAUGAGAGAAUCCACAAAGGAUAUGUGGCAAUCAUUAGGGCUCAUAUUUCUUAGUGCUAAAACUGGUAAGGGCAGGAUAUUAUUGGGCCCGCAUGGAAAAAGGCGCCAAAGCCUGUGUACAAAAAUAUGAUAAGUGUCAAUGCUACACACCACUGGUACAUCAAUUGGCAAAACCAUUAUAUUCGAUUAUGUCCUCGUAAUUGUUCAGUAAAUGGGUAAUGGACAUCAUCGGACCAAAGUUGUCGGCUCCUAGUAAGGUCUGAUUUCUUUUGAUUUCGAUUGACUAUUUUUCUAAGCAGGUGAAAGCAUGUCCUUAUCAGAAGAUGGACGAAUGUAAGGUCGUGCAUUUCUUGUGGGAAAAUAUAAUUUUGUUGUUCGGAAUAUCAAAAGAUUUAGCAUUCGAUAAUAGACCACAAUUUAUUAGCACAAAAGUCACAAAGUUCCUUUGAAAUUAAAGAGGAUCACCUCUUCACCUUACCAUCCAAGCGCAAAUGGUCAAGCGAAUUCAAUGAGCAAAGUGAUUAUACAAAACCUAAAGAAAAGUUUAGAAAGGUAAUGGCCCGAGGAAUCACCCGAGGUUUUAUGUUCAUACUGAACAGCGACCAAAUCGAGCAUAGGAUAAACUCAUUUUUCCCUUAUGUACGGGGCGGGAGCCUUUAUCCCGGUUGAAGUAAGAGAACCAACCUUAAGAUAUUCCAAGCAGAUAAAGAAUCAAAUAAUGAAACAAUGUUAGUCAGCUUAGAGCAACUUGAUGAGCGUAGGGACUUCGCGCAUGUAAGAAUGGCAACCCUAAAUAAGAGAAUGGAAUGAUAUUAUAAUCAAAGAGCCAGCCUCCGUCAUUUCAAAGUAGGUGAUUUGUUCCUAAGGAAAGUAACUCAAAACACCUGGUAGCUCAAUACAGGGAAGUUAGGUCCAACAUAGGAAGUCUACUACAGGAUUUCAAAUGUCAAUGGGAAAGGUUCGUAUGAAUUAGAGAAUCACGAUGGAGAAAAGUUUCCCAGCAACUGGAACUUAGCACACCUCAAAAGAUGUUAUUGAUGAUGAGCAUCAUAUGAAUAGAAAGCAUGUGUUGCACUCUUUUUCCCGCCGUUCAGUUUUUGUCCCAAUUGGAUUUUCCUGGCAAGGUUUCUAACGAGGUAACAAUAGAAAGUAUACCACGGAGAAAGCUUCUUCAACAACAAUAAGACUUUUUAUAACAAGGCACAUAAGCAAAGAGUCACUCAAGGAUGGUUAGAUAAUAUUUGGUUAAGCAACAUCAUGCCCUUCUGAGAGACCACUUUUAGUAGCUAACUCAAACUCACAGGCUUUAGCAAUUUCAGCAUCAAAGUUGAUGAUAUCAUCUUUAGCUUCUUCCAAGGUUUUUCUCCUCAUGAUGUACAUAGGGUAAGUUUCUCAACAAUGAGAGAACCCGCUUGGCGCUUAAGUCACUCUUUGAGUUAGAUUACCUCGGCAGAAAGGUCUUCCCAUGCGGAUUUAACAGACUAGAGGCUAACAUCAAGAUCAUGGACAGUUGAGCUAAAGAGCUUGUUAUGCUCGAUAGUCUUCUAACACUUCUCCUCUAACUGGGCAUAUUUCAUCCCCGCAGCAGCAAGCUCUUCAGCAUUGGAAUUUAAGGCUGCCUCUAAAUUGGUCAAUCUUUAAGUGGAGGCAGCCUCACUGUUGGAUGCAACAAGAACGACAUUAUGAAAUUUUAAUCCUUUUGUCCUCAGCCUCUACAAACGAGCCUCCAAUACAAUGACCCCAGUGUCUUUGACUUCAAAUUUUCAGAGGUGAGCGGCACUUUGCUCCCGCUUUGCCAAAAGCUAAUCCUGUGCAAAGGUAAUUUCUUCAUUUUCAUGAAUCAACCUAUGAAAACCCUGGGAAGCAAGAACGUCGUCUUACAAAGCAAGAAAGGCGAAACUCAAGAUAUUUUUAUGCAAAAAUAGAAGAAAUAACAAAGAAAGUAAGGAAUGUACUGAUGUGGCAUUGUGCAUUGCAUGUUCAACAAGCACUCUUCCGAGAGUGCCUGAAUCUUUUCCCAAUCUUUCUCUGAAGCCAAAGGAUUCAUGUAAUUAGCAAGUUCAACCGGUGGGGAUAGCAAAUUGCAUCCAGUAAAGAUUGAAAGAAUAACAUUCCUACACCUUUGUAGAUCUUUAGAAGGGCAGCAUAAUUUUUCCGCAAAUUCACAUAAACUGGGGAUUGGGAAAAGGAACAUUUUGUUCUUGGUCAAGUACGACCGGUGGAGAUGAUGUAGCAGUUACUGAUGGAAGAGUUGCUGAAGGAGAUGAAGCCGAUGGCAAUGAUGAAUGGGAAGAAGUUGCAGGGACUGUAAUGCUAGUUGUGAGUUGCUCAUCAAUCGAAAAUGGUAGGGGCCUAAUACUCAGCCUUACGAUACCGCUCGCGGUGAUUGGGGUCAGAAAAUGAGAGUUGGCAUUCUCUACCAUUUCAAAAUCCACCUAGAGCGUAGAGACAUCAUCCUAGGUUGCUGUAAAUAACUCAAUAAAUUGAGAAUCAUGUUGAUAUGAUAAGGAUCGUCAUCUUCUAUGUAGAGAAGCUAUCUCAUCACUAGCUUCUCCAUCAUUGCCGAUCAUCACGGUGUCUAUUAUCGGCUCAAGACGAGGGCUAGUCACCAUAACUUCUGAAUAUGACUUGGGGGUAAUAGUGUUUGCCUUUUUAUUCUUUACCUCGACUGCGGAUGAACGCCUUCUUUUUGGUUAUUGUUCUCCAGCCAAGGACUCAGUAAUAAAACACUUGUACCCGACGUAGUCCCGGAGACACCUGUUCGAGUAAGCGCCUCCUGGAGUAGUCUCGCCGUAUUAGUAGGGUUAGCCAAAACAUCUUCCUUGGGAAUGGUAACCGAGCCCUUGGAUAGACCUAAUUUUAGAAAAAAAUGGGGAAUGGAUCAAUCAAUUUCUUCAUGUAAGAGCUGAAACAAGGUGAGUCCAAGUUACCAUGAUUUUUGUCCUUCAACCCAUAUUUAAGGGCCAGUUCUUUUCAUGUACGGGGUUUGGACAUAGUAACGUCAAAGCUCUUUUAAACCCACCAAUCCAAGACUUCAACCCUAGGUGGAAGCCAUCGAGUUGCUGAAAUAAGCGAAGAACGAAGGACCAAUGCAAGUAUAAAAAAUAUCUAAUGAAAGAAACAUUAAACAAGGAACUUACGAAUGUUGUUCUAUGAUCCCACCCGGAAUGAUGUCACUAGUUGCAACUACAACGAAUAGUUCCAUCCACCCACGGUCGUUUUCAUCAUCCAUGCUAGAUAAUAGAGUAUGGUAUCCGCAUUUGCAAAAAUUUAUCAUUCCCUCACAAAAGAUUUUGUGGGAAUUGAGAUUCAUCACAUGAGCUAAAUAUAGCUCCUAUCUCGCUUCGUGGCAUAAGAGCCGAAGACAAGAAAUCAUCCUUCACACAUAAGGACUUACUUGUGCCAAAAACACAUAGUAGCAGAGGAAAAAACCCACAAUAAUGAAGUCAAGCUCUUCGCUCAAAAGAAUGCACCCAAAGUAAAAGGAUAUAUGUAAAAAUAUGUAAAACCCUCCCUUGGUAGAUUUACUUGCUCUAUUAGAUCAGGAGUAACAAUGUCCAAAUCAUUAUAUCGGUAAUCUGCCUUCACAACGAAAAUAUAGGUAAGAUUGAUAGAAGAAUGAGUAUCUGCCAACGGCCUACAUACGGGGAAUAGCUGAAGGGAGUUUCUCUUCGAAGUCUUUUGUUGUAACAAGACUUAUAGGGAUAAUUAUAUUUACUUUUGAAGGAACAACAUCCUUGGCUUUGAUCUUUCCCCUUAAAGCACUGAAGUCCUUUGAAAAAGAAGCCAUUUGGAUAAAAGAAAAGCUUUUUCGUUUUAAGGGAGUUAAAGAAAGGUUGAAGAACAUGAGAGAAGAUAUUAGAUAGCUGGGAAAGUUAUCUAAUAUGAAUGAGGAAGCUUUAUGGGUAUAAGUAAAAGUUUUGGCGCCUAAAUUCAUGGCCAUGAUUACCUUGAUAACUGGAAAAUGUGUUGAAUCAUGAGAUGAUGCAUGUUCGGGGCAUGGAAAACAGAGAGACGUGCGUCUAAUUAACCAUUAGAAGCCAUAAGAAGGAAACGUAGUAAUUUCUGCCAAAGGAGUAUGUCUACCAACUUCCAGGUAACACAAGGCUAUGUCACCAAAAAGCAUGGAGACUAUCUGUAUAGGGUAAAAUAAGUUAUGCCACGUGGCCAUUUAAAAUAACAACACGUGGAACCAAACGCAAUUUACCAAUUUAGUACCGGAAGGAAUGAUAUUCACAAAGAGGCAAUAAAUACCCUACACCCGAUGGCAUUAAUGAAGAAUAUUACAUAGUAUUAAGUACACUGCCCGUUAUGAGGAAUUUGGCAUUGAUGCUUACCGUUAAAUUUCCAUCAGUGACCCUCAUAAGUAACAUUAAAAAAGAGUACAAUCCGAGGACCUCGUUCCCAAGAUAUAGCUAUAAAUAGUGAGCUCUAUUAUCAUUGUAACAGAGAUGAUUAGACUGGCAAAACUGGUACUAUAAUCUAUUCUAAGCUCUAUAUAACUUUGUCAUCUUAAUUUUUGAUUCUUACUAUUGUUGCGCUCGAAGUCACUAUUUGUGCUAUUUUAUCUUCAUAUCGAGGCUAAGUAUUACAUAUUUCUUCAAUUAUUUCAUUACUUGAGGAUCGAGUUAAUAUAUUUGUCUAAAAAUCAUUUAUAAAUUCAACUAUACCAUUUUAUGGGUGAACAAUUCACAAUAAUAAAAUUUAUUAUAUAGAAAAUACUUGUGAGAAAUAGUGCUAAGAUUUUAAAAAAUAUGUUUUUUCAAGAACAUUGAUUGAAAUGGAGAAGUACUAUUAGGAUGUUAUAUAUAUAAUAGAAAGAAACUUAGUAAAGUGAAAAACAAAGUUAUAUAGAAUGUUUCAAGACUAGCAACAUUACGUGAGAAUGAAUAUUGAGCUUCUAAAGUUUAACUUAUUUAUCAGGACUCGAAUUUCUCUUCGCCAGUAUCGUGAUGGUUCCUACUACAGAAAUCUAGCAAGUCAACAGAUAUAGUUCUAACACAUUAUUAUUAACCAAACAGAAAUAAAUAAUAACUAAAACUAACAGAUAUAAAGUGGGUAAGUGAUAUAACAGUUCAAAAACUUUAAUACACAACUACCCCAAUGAUCUGGUGUUACAAUUCACGAAUGUCUAAGAAGUUAUACAAAUCCUUGUUUAAAAAAAAUACACCUGUUAUUCGAGAAUUUUUGUGAUUCUAGUAUUGAGGUCGCAUAUACUGAUUUCGUGCUAGUUAUUCGAGAAUUUUCGAAAGUAUUUCCUGCAAACCUGUCGAGGAUGCCACCCGAUAGGGAUAUCGACUUUUGCAUUAAUUUGUCUUCGGGCACUGAACCCAUUUCUAUUCUGCCAUAUCGUAUGGCCCCGUCAGAGUUGGAAGAAUUGAAGGAGCAGCUGCAAAUUUCUUGAUAAGGGCUUUAUUAGAACUAGUGUCUCGCCUUAGGGUGCACCGGUGUUGUUUGUUAAAAAGAAUAAUGGAUCGAUGAGGAUGUGUAUAGACUAUCGGUAAUUGAACAAAGUCACCAUCAAGAACAAGUAUCUAUUGUCGAGGAUUAAUGAUUUGUUUGAUCAGCUUCAGGGUGCAAUGGUAUUUUUGAAGAUUGAUUUGAGAUCUGGUUACCCUCAGAUAAGAAUUAAGGCAUCUAAUGUCCCUAAGACAACUUUUUGCACUGUGUACGAGCAUUAUGAGCUCCUAGUUAUUCAUUUAGGUUGACAAAUGUCCCAGCAUCAUUUAUGGAUUUGAUGAACCGAGUGGUCAAACCAUAUAAGGAUGACUUCGUGAUUGUUUUCAAUUAUGAUACUUUGAUCUACCCUUGUAGCCAAGAAAAGCAUUAGCAGCAUCUCUGAGUCCUUCUUCAGACUCUAAGAGAUAGUCGGUUGUAUGCUAUGUUUUCGAAAUGUGAGUUUUGGUUGAGUUCAGUUACUUUCUUCGGUCGCAUUGUAUUAACAGAGGGUAUUUAUAUGGAUCCCAGUAAGAUUGAGGCCAUCAAGGAAUGACCUUGACCCACAUCAACUACAAAGAUCCGGAGUUUAUUGGGCUUGGCGGGUUAUUAUUGUUGGUUCAUGGAUAUGUUUUCAUCUAUAGCAGCCCUGAUGACUAGGUUGACUCGGAAUGGUACCUUUUUCAGGUGAUCGAAGAGUGUGAGCCGAGCAUUUAUAAGCUCAAGACAACUUUUACUAUGGCAUCGUGUUGGUAUUUCCCACAAGCUCAGGGACAUAUAUAGUAUAUUGUGACACAUCUCAUAUUGGACUUGGUGCAGUGUUGAUGCAGAAUGACAAGGUUAUUGCAUAUGACUCCUGGUAGUUGAAGAUUCACGAGAAGAAUUAUCUAGUUCAUGAUUUGGAGCUAGCAGCCAUUAUUCAAGCGCUUAAGAUUUGGAGGCAUUAUUUAUAUGGCGUGUCAUGCAAGGUAUUCACGGAUCAUAAGAGUUUGCGGUAUUUGUUCAAGUAGAGGAACUAAAUUUGAGAGAGAAGAUGUGGUUGGAUCUUUUGAAAGACUGUGAUAUCACUAUCUUGUAUCAUCCCGAGAAGGCAAAUGUGGUGUCCGCUGCGUUGAGUAUGAAGUCGGCUAGUAUGGGUAGCCUUGCAUUUCCAGUCGCUGAGAUACCGCUUGCUUUGGAUGUUCAUGCUUUGGCCAACCAGUUCGUGAGGUUGGAUAUCUCUGAGCCCAGUUGUAUUCUAGCUUGUAUGGUCGCUCGGUCUUUAUUAUUUGAGCGUAUCAGAGAUCGGCAGUAUGAUGAUCCUUAUUUUCUUGUACUUAGAGACAGAGUGCGGCACAGUGGUGCCGAGCAGGUUGCAGUUGGAAAUGAUGGAGUUCUGAGAAUGCAUGGUCGAGUUUGUGUGUAGAUUUUGUGCCAGAUCCCGUGAGUAAAUUUUGGGUUGCUGCCUUCAGUCCACGGGAGACCCAAGGUAGAUCUUCCAGUAUUGGCAGACCCUAGAGUCCCCUUUUCCCUUAUUUUAGAUUUCCUAUCUCUUCCAUUUCGAGAACAUAUGUAUUUCUUUUAAACCAGUAUUUGUUGAACUUCUUAGACAUUAGUGAAUUCUGAUACCAGAUCAUUAGGGUAGUCAUGUAUUAAAGUAUUUGAACUGUUAUAUCACUACCGCACUUUAUAUAUGUUAGUUUUAUAUAUUAUUUAUUAAUUCUUGGUUAGUAAUUAAUGUGUUACAACUGUAUUUGUGGACUUGCCUAGCUUUUGGAGUAGGUGUCAUCGCGACUCGCAUGAUGGAAAAUCCGAAUCGUAACAUAUUUACAAAAUUACAAAUGUUCAUUAUCGAUAGACGGUGCAAAUAGCACACAUAAAAGAAAUAUAAGAGGUUCCAUAAAUAAUUUGGAUAUGUUUUACUUCGACCUCCAGAUGCAGCUAUCUAUAUAAAUGCCAAAAUCAUGGUGAAUGAAAGCGUUAGAAGGUAAUGAGUACAUCUAAAAUUACACGCAUACCUAAUAAAAACUUGGACAUAAUGAAAGAAAUAAAUGGGGGAAUUUCAAUUAUUUGUCUUUAAGUUUGUCAUGAUCAUAUGUUUAUUUAGGUCCAGUAUUUUCUAAGAAUAUUUUAUCUUGUUAGAGAUUUAUAUGCGGAUAGAAAUUAUAGAGUAUUUGUAAUGAUCUUUUAUUCUAAAUUGCAGUUUAUAGUAUUGGAAUGGUAUGAUUUUAUUUGGAGACAUGAAGAAUACUUACUUGAGAUUGAAACGUAAUUAUUGUUUUUUAUUUGUUAAUCUUACAAGUUUGAAAUCUGCGGCAAAUUUAACCAAUUACUGGAACAAAUAUGUUGUUGUAAUACGAAACUUGCGACGAUAAAACGAUAUUGACAGCUAUGCCAAAUGCAAUUAGCAAUAACACAAUGCAGCUGUAUACCAAAAUAAUUUACUAUGGUCAAUGAUCAAGUUACGGGAGCAUAUAAUUAACUAUGAUAAGUGUUAGAAAUUUUUAUGUAAACACAAGUAAUAUGUGUCAAUAAAUCUAUUGUAAACACGUUUUUUUUUCAAACUUAAGUACUAUGUAUAAGUAACAGAAAUAAUAUUGGAAGGUAAAUAUUAUAAAUAGAGCUCCUAAAGGUGGUAAAUAGUAAUGGUAAGAUGUGAACACAGGCUAGGGCUACCCUCGACAAUAUAAGCUUGCGGGGUCGAGUAAACUGGCUACUAGCAAUGAGUUCCAAAUGACAUAAAUAAUAAGAUCGUAUGUUUGUCCCAAGUGAAGAAAGAGGAAUAAGAAGAAGGGCCAGUGGCCCAGGCUCCUUAUUUCCCCAUAUACUUACUGAAACUACAAUGAUGGUGUUUCCUCUGCAUGGGGGAAUGGCGUGAAUUACGCACUCAUCAUUUGUCUCUAGAUCCCUUCCCUUCCCACCCCACCUUAACCCCCUCCCCCCAAAGCAGGGGCCAAGCUAGGAGGAAAUUACCAGUGCGAGUGAAUUUAGUAGUAUUAGUAAGAUGCGGAAUCAUAAUAUAAAGUUUAUGAGUGUAAAAUCUAUCAUCGAGCCCAUAGCUCGUUCUACUUAGGAUUUACAAUUAAAUAUUCAUAUAAAAAUAAUUUUUUUAUAUAAAUAUAUAGCCAAAUCAAAAAUUAUUAAAUUCGGACAAACAUAUAACCACCACGUAUUACCUCUGUUGUAGCUUUUACAAAUCAUAUAUUUGUAUAAGCAACUUAUGAAAUAUUUAUGAAAAUUAAAUUAAUUCACUAUAACAUGAUAUCGCUAAAAUUUAAAACUUAUAAAAUUCAAAUAACACCAUAAACGCUGAGGUAGGACUCUAAAACUUUUAAAACUCGCAAGAUGUUCUUCUAUUGGUCAGAAUAAUUGGUAUCUUAUUUAGUAGGCGUUUGGACAUAAAAAAUUAUAAAAUUCCAAAAAAUAGUGAAAAACAUUUAAGUAAAAAUGAUUUUUGCAUUUUAAAGUUAUGUUAGGACAUAAAUUUCAGUUUUGGUUAUUUUUAAAGUUUUGUGAAUGAUUUGAGUUAAAAUUUUAAAAAAUAAUUUUUUGAAAUUAUUCAAAUUUUUAAAAUGCAUCUUCAAGUCAAAAUCGAAAAUUUUAUGAACAAAUAAUGAUUUUAAAAAAAGUUAAUUUUUAUUUUGGAAAAAGGAAAAAAAAUAUGUCCAAAUGGGCUCUCAAUAUUUUUUAUUUUGGGAGCCAUAUAUCAAUUAUAUAAACUAAUUGAAAAUAAUCUGCCAAUGGGCUUCUGCCAAACCCUUAUUUUGAAAAGGGAUUUUUACCUAUACAUACCAUAUAGCAAACCUUAUUACCACCCAUGUUUAAGGUUUGUGUUUAUUACAUUUAAGUACAUCACCUUUCAAUUUAUGUACCAAAAUUCUAUUUAAGGUUUAAUUAUCAACUUAUUAGUUAUAGGCUUGAUUUGUGGAACUGAAAAUCUUUUCAGAUUUUAUUUUACACGUUUCUUCUCUCUCUUACAAAUAAAACUCACGAUUUUCUCCCCUUUUUUAAUUACCCUCCCCCACGUUUUUUACCAAAAUCGAUUUCUAUCUCUCUCUGCUUGAAUUUCAUCCGCCAUUGUCGAAGCUUGAACAGUUUCAGAUCGAGAAGUUNNNNNNNNNNNNNNNNNNNNNNNNNNNNNNNNNNNNNNNNNNNNNNNNNNNNNNNNNNNNNNNNNNNNNNNNNNNNNNNNNNNNNNNNNNNNNNNNNNNNNNNNNNNNNNNNNNNNNNNNNNNNNNNNNNNNNNNNNNNNNNNNNNNNNNNNNNNNNNNNNNNNNNNNNNNNNNNNNNNNNNNNNNNNNNNNNNNNNNNNNNNNNNNNNNNNNNNNNNNNNNNNNNNNNNNNNNNNNNNNNNNNNNNNNNNNNNNNNNNNNNNNNNNNNNNNNNNNNNNNNNNNNNNNNNNNNNNNNNNNNNNNNNNNNNNNNNNNNNNNNNNNNNNNNNNNNNNNNNNNNNNNNNNNNNNNNNNNNNNNNNNNNNNNNNNNNNNNNNNNNNNNNNNNNNNNNNNNNNNNNNNNNNNNNNNNNNNNNNNNNNNNNNNNNNNNNNNNNNNNNNNNNNNNNNNNNNNNNNNNNNNNNNNNNNNNNNNNNNNNNNNNNNNNNNNNNNNNNNNNNNNNNNNNNNNNNNNNNNNNNNNNNNNNNNNNNNNNNNNNNNNNNNNNNNNNNNNNNNNNNNNNNNNNNNNNNNNNNNNNNNNNNNNNNNNNNNNNNNNNNNNNNNNNNNNNNNNNNNNNNNNNNNNNNNNNNNNNNNNNNNNNNNNNNNNNNNNNNNNNNNNNNNNNNNNNNNNNNNNNNNNNNNNNNNNNNNNNNNNNNNNNNNNNNNNNNNNNNNNNNNNNNNNNNNNNNNNNNNNNNNNNNNNNNNNNNNNNNNNNNNNNNNNNNNNNNNNNNNNNNNNNNAUCUUUUAAGGUUUUAAAAAGAUCAUUUAAUUAAGACAGAAUCAAAUAUUAAUUGGGAAGCUUAAAAUCUGGCGCUAUUUUAGGCUAUAAAUUCAGCUAGAUAUGGUUUGGUACAGUUUUGGUAAAGAAAACAUAGUGUAUGCGGGUAAUAACCAAACAAGGCACAAUAAUAAUAAUAAGGUUUGCUAUAUGACAUAUUUAGGUAAAAAUCCAUAUUGAAAAUAAUCAUCAUUCCUAGGGUGCACGCUUUCGCUCCAAUGGGCUUCUGCCAAACCCCUUAUAUUUUUCUCAUGCAGCUUUUUAUAUAAAUUUAAUAUUAUUAACACAAAAACAUAGACUAUACUACCAUUACACCGUAGAAGGCGGUUUGGUCUCUUUUAAGCUUUCUCUUGGAUCCAUGCAUGGGUAGAGAAUCCUAUUGCUUUGUUAAAAAGGCAAAAAUAAAAGGACUGAUAAAACAUUACAACAUGAUUCUCCAUACUAUAGAAUACAUAUAUAUGAACAGAGAAAACGUACGAGAUGGGCAAUCUAAGCUUCAAGUAUCCAUUAAAGAAAAAAGGAACGUUCAUCAAAGGCAUUUCGAAGCCAUCAAAACUUUAAAGUUGCUUGGCUUCUUCACAUUACCCUAUCACUCUUUUUCUGUGUCUCUUCGUGCUUUGCAUAUUUUUUAAUGACAUGUUUGCAUAAAUAGUUACAAUGUCAACUUCUAAUCUAUACCUAGUUACGUAAUAAAACCGAGUCUUUCUCUAUAGAAUCCGAUGAGGACAGUGCUUGUAACUGACAAGUACAAUUCACCCUUUUAGGCAACAUAUAAAUCCCAUUCAUUUUAAUGUUCUAUUCUCUUUUUUCAUUUGCUAUUUACUAAUGAGUUUAAAUUCUAUACAAGAAUAGUGUCAAAAAUAGUUGCAAAGUUACAUUUAUUUCGUUUCAAUUUAGAUGAGAUAGAUUAAUUUGGCAGAAGAAGAAAAAAAGACUUUUAAAAUAUGUGAUGCUAAAAGUUUAAAGGCAAAAGUAUUGUGGGGCCAUUUUAUUUGUGUGACUAUAAAAAUUUCUUAUUAAGAGUAAAAUGAGUAGAAUAAAAAGUUUAAAUUUGAUUAUGAUCCAGUAAAAUCCCACUAGUGGGGUCUUGGGAGGAUUAAUGUGUACGCAAACAUUAAAGUUGAUUUUUUCCAAAUAUAGAAAUAUUUUACUCAUUUUGAAACGGAUUAAUAAAGAAAAUAUAUCAUUUAAAUUAAAACAAGGGGAGUUCCUCUUUUAAGAUAAUUAUAUAUAAAUAUUUAUGAUAAACAUUAAUUGAUAAUCUGAUAAAAAUUAUAACCUUCCAUAAUAAGUUAACUAUACUGAUUAUGUAAAAUAUAUUUAUAUUGUAACUUAAAUCCAAUUUUUAAUUUGAAGUAUUGCGCCAGGGAGAAUCUUGUAACAUUACAAGGAAAAUUAGCGUACUCUUAGACAAACUUGUUCGGCAUUAGAGACGGGCCCAAAAUUUAAAUAUAUUGAGGGCACCAUUAAGAAGCAUACCAAUUACUAGUGAUAAAGUUGGGGUGUAACUCUAUUAAAAAAAUGAGUAUGAUAAUGUAUUAGCAAAUACGAAAUUUAAGUUUACUUUUUGGCUCCAAAACUCUUCGGAGAAAGCAAUAGUUCGAUACCAAAUUAUUUUGCUUUGUUAAUAUUUUCAAAAGAAAAAAUUAGGGAUCUUUAUCUAAAUAACUGGCUAUAUUUAUUAUUUACUUUUUUCUAGUUAUAUAUAUAGUUAUAUAUUAGUUACACACAAUUAUACGUCAUAUAAUACAUAUAUUAUAUGUCCAUCAGUUAUUUCUUGUUUAAAUAGUUAGGUUUCAAAAAAUUACUCAAAUAAAAUUAAAAUUUACUCAAAUAAGUUAAGUGUUUCAGCUGAAGAAGAGUCUCAAACUCAGUAGACGUCGCCAAUUUGGACUGUCAAUGUCGAGCUUGAGCAGACGCAAAUUAAGAAUAAAACAAUCAUUUGAAAAAGUAUUUUUAUUUUGAGCAGAAGAGGUGAUUGGAGGGGUUUUACUUUGUUUGAAAUAGAGAGGUGAGAGGCAGAAGGGUUACUUUUGUUUUUGAAUUUGGAAAAGGUUAACGUUGACUAUUGUGUACAAGUAUUAAGAAUUAAAACUAAAUAAAAUAAAAAAACUAGUAGACAACUAAUGCCAAAGGAAACAAUCGUUGAUUUAAAAAGAGCUAAAAGCUAGCAAAGCGGGCGCACGAUAGCAGGUGGCAAUCCUGCGCAUCGGCCAUGGCUAAGACGAGGAAGAAGCAUCAAUCGGAACCAGCAAACAGAGGAGAUGAGGAUUUGGAAGUCACACCAGCAAUAAACCAUCCAAAUCGAUGGCUAACGGAAAUGGGUUCAGCACCCACUGUAUUCCAUAACCCGGAAGCGGAUGAUAUGCAAAAUGGGGCGAUAGUGACACCGGAGUCGGAUAUUCAGCAGAGAUUGAAUCCGGUAACUCUUGGAAGCUUUAUGCCAAAGCAAUUUCAACCUAUUAGGGAGGAAAUCGAGGAAUGUCAGGUCCAAGCUCAAGAGGCAGGAACACAGGCACAAUCGCAAGUUCACCGGCGAUUGCAAUUUUCCACGCACGCAAAACAAGAUCGAAGCAUACAAGUUGUAGCAGACACAGGGGAAGUUGAAAAGAAAAAGGUUUUCAAUCGAAGCCCAAAAAGAGGAAAUGCCCUAAGCUACAUCCCCCCUGAUAUGAGAGAUGGGCGAUUUGUAGUUCAAAUUGAUGAUGGAGAUACAAAGGAAUUAGAGGCUUAUUGGAGUAAUGCAUUGAUAGGCUUUGUACUGGAGGAGUCUCCGUAUGAAAAAAUUAUGGAAACUUUUGUCGCAAACCUGUGGAAUUUCGUCGACAAGCCUCAAAUAAUGUAUCAUGACGAUGGGUACUUUCUAUUCAGAUUUGAGAAUGCGGAGGAUAAGGAUCGUGUAUUACAAGCAGGACCUUACACCUUCCGUAACAAGCCACUUGUACUGCAGCAAUGGAAAAUGGAUUUCAAGUUUGAUCCGGCUGAUAUUUCCACUGUGGAUAAACUUUCCUGGAUUACCACUGGGUUUCUGGUCAAUUGAAGCAUUAAGCAAAUUGGCUAGUGUAGUUGGAAAACCUCUAUAUACUGAUAAAUUCACAUCGGAUUUGGAGAAAGUGUCAUAUGCCAGAGUGUUGAUUGAAACAGAUAUAUCCAAGCCUUUACCAGAUAGUUUAGAGCUUCAAACAAAAAGAGGAAUCAUAGUCCAACAAAUAAACUACGAAUGGAAACCAAAGUAUUGUGAUAAUUGUAUCAAAUUUGGACAUAGUUCUGCUGAGUGUUGGUAUAAGGAAGAGCAACAGACAACAAAGGAAGAGAGGAACAAACCUAAAUCAGGUCAGUUGAAACAGAAGUUCAGAGUAACCAAGAGAUGGACACCAAAAGUAAAAACCAAGAAUGUGGCAAUUGAACAGGAAAAGAAGACUGGGGAUAUGAUGGAGACAGAAGGAACUAGCUUUACAAAGGAGGAUGAAAAUGGGAAACAGAAAGGGAAGAAUGCACUGCAAACAGAAACUUGUAUCCUGAACUCAAGCAACAGAUUUACCCCUUUACAGAUGGAAGGCAAUCUUGGGGAUGCUGGCCCAUCCAGCUUCACCCCUAAAUGAUACUAACCACCUGGAAUAUCAGGGGCCUGAACAAGGCCUACAAGCAGAAAGAGUUACUGCUCUUUCUGAGGAAGCAUAAGGUGGAUGUCAUGGACUGUUUAGAAACUAAAGUAAAAGAAGGGAAAGCUAGAAGGAUACUCAACACUGUCAAUGGAGAAUGGAGUAAUUGUUGUAAUUAUAACAAACAUUCAAAUGGCAGAAUCUGGCUAUUGUGGAAACAAAGCAGUGAGAUGACAAUCUUGUUGACUAAUGAACAAUUCAUUCCUUGUGAAGUUCAGGAAAGAGGUACCACCUUUAAAACUCUUCUUAUAGUGGUAUAUGCAAGCAAUGAUAUAAAUAAAAGACAGAAGUUAUGGGAUAGGCUGAUGUUGUUAGGAGCAUCUGUUAAACAAAGCUGGUUGAUCAGUGGGGAUUUCAACAAUGUUCUUCACACGGAUGACAGAAUUGGCUCACCAGUAAAAUGAACUCAAAGGGUUUCAGGAAGCAAUAAACAAUCUUCAACUUACUCAACUUCAACAAUGUUCUUCACAGAGAUGACAGAAUUGGCUCACCAGUAACACAGAAUGAGCUCAAAGGUUUUCAGGAAGCAAUCAACAAUCUUCAACUUACUCAAUUGAAAAGUUUGGGAUGUUACUUCUCUUGGUGCAACAAACAACAACCUAGCAGAAGGGUGUAUAGCAGGAUAGACUGGAGUUUUGGCAAUAUGACAUGGAUGCAACAUUACAGUCACAUUGAAAUUGAUUAUCUGACUCCGGGGGUAUCAGACCAUUCUCCUAUUCUAAUACAAUGCACAACUACAAUUCAGAGGAAGAAUAUACAUCCCAAACCUUUUAAACUGUACAAACAUGUGAUGGAGCAUGUUGACUUUACUGGUAUAGUAGAAAAGGUUUUGAAACAGAUGGGAGAUGAUGGAACUGGGAGCAUGCAAAGGAUAUAGAGCUUGAUGUAGUAGCAAAGGUCUGGAAACAGAGGGGAAAUGAUGACACUGGAAGAAUGCACAAGCUAUGGAACAAACUCAAAACUUUGAAAUGGGAGUUGGAAAGAAUUGAAUACUCAUAUGGCAUCCUAUCGAACCCAUCUCAAUGCAGCAAGACAGAAACUAGAAACCAUUCAGUUAGAAUUGAGAAGGAAUAAUCUGGACCAGCAGCUGAUAGACCAAGAAAAGAAAACUUUAACAGAAGUAGAGAAAUGGAGCAACAUAGAAGAACAGAUUCUUCAUCAAAAAUCCAGGGCACGGUGGAUCAUGUGUGGAGACUCAAACUCCAAGUACUUCCAUGUACAACUGAAGUAUAGGACAAACAUAAACACAAUAAACUCCAUAUACAUUGACUCAGGGGUGAUUACUUCCAUGCACAAAUGAAGCAGAGGACAAACAUAAACACAAUUAGCUCAAUAUACACUGACUCAGGGGAGAGACUGUUUGAUCCUAAACUAGUGGAAGCAGAGUUUAUAGAUGUAUUCAGCAAGAUAAUGGGGGAAAGUAAACCUUUCUGUAAAUGUCCAAAUACUGUCCUUAUUCAAAAGGGACCAUGUCUUAGCACGCAGCAGAAACAGUCUCUGAUUAGGCCAGUUACAAAGGAGGAAAUUAAUCAGGCAAUAAAUGAUAUGCCCCAUGAUAAAGCCCCAGGAGUAGAUGGCUUCCCAGUCGAAUUCUUCACUAGACACUGGGACACUGUUGCUGAUGAUGUAUAUGAAUCAGUAACGGAAUUCUUUGCAACAGCGAAACUGCAUAGAGGAGUAAGUAGCACAGUAGUAACCUUGAUUCCUAAAAUACAAAAUCCUUCUACUGUCAACGACUACAGACCCAUUGCUUGCUGUAUGACCCUAUAUAAAAUAAUCACAAAGGUGCUAACAGCAAGAAUCAAAACAGUCAUAGGUGGCUUGAUAGGUAAUUCAAAGUCAGCUUUUAUUGAAGGCAGAAGUAUAACAGACAACAUACUAUUUACCCAGGAAUUAUUUAAAGGGUACAAUAGGAAAGGAGUAUCCCCUCGGUGUGUAUUAAAAUUCGACCUGAGGAAGGCAUAUGACACAGUGGAGUGGUGUUUUAUUGAGAGGCUACUGCUGGACAUGGGGUUCCCCUACAAAUUUACGAAAUGGAUAAUGGAAUGCAUAUCUUCUGUCACAUAUUCAUUAAAUCUCAAUGGAGGGCUGACCAAUAAGUUUAAAGGAAAAAGAGGUAUAAGGCAGGGAUACCCAAUGUCCCCAUACCUCUUUGUCAUUGUCAUGGAAUACUUACACAGGGAACUCAAGUAUAUGAUGGAAAGUAAGGAUUUCAAAUUUCAUCCUAGAUGCAAGAAGCUGGGAGUGGCUCAUAUCUGUUUUGCUGAUGAUCUUCUACUAUUCUGCUAGGCUGAUACCCAAUCUGUAAGACUUUUAAAACAAACGCUCCAAAAAUUUGCGGAAACCUCAGGACUUCAAGCAAAUGCAGAUAAAAGUGCAGUCUAUGUAGCAGGAGUAUCAAACUGGCUAAAGGAGGAAAUCUUACAAGAACUAGACUUCCCUGAAGGCUCUCUACCUUUCAAAUAUCUUGGUGUUCCAUUGGACUUCAAAAAAUUAUCAGUUACACAAUGCUGGCUAAUAGUAGAAAAGAUAACACCGAAAAUUAACUACUAGACGUCAAGACUACUGUCUUACGCAGGUCCAGUUGAUCAAGUCAGUCUUAUUUGGAAUUCAAUCUUACUGGUCUCAAAUCUUCCUCCUACCUAAAAAGGUAAUGAAGAUGAUCGAGGCAAUCUGCAGAUCUUUCUUGUGGACUGGAGCAGCAAAUGUGUGAAAGAAGGCAUUAGUAGCAUGGGAAACUAUCUGUCUACCAUAUAGUUCUAGAGGCCUAAAUGUAUUGAACCUGCCACUCUGGAAUAAGGCAGCUGUUGCAAAGCAUCUGUGGGCAGUAACAAUGAAGAAGGACAGCCUAUGGGUCAAAUGGGUGCACACAUACUACAUCAAAAACUAAAUCAUCUGUGGGCAGUAACAAUGAAGAAGGACAGCCUAUGGGUCAAAUGGGUGCACACAUACUACAUAAAAAACAGUGCUGUAGAGGAUGUACCUACUCCUAAAAGUGCUGCAUCGGCUGUGAGAAAGAUCCUUGAGACUCGAUCACUGAUAACAAAUAUACAAGGAAUACAAGGAAAUCUGGAAUGUAGACUACACUAGCUACAAAGAGGUGAACGGUUCAGCAUAAAAAAACUCUACAUACUGCAACUCCCUCAACACCGCAAAGUACACUGGAAAAGCAUUAUUCUGCAGACAAAACUGCACCCACAAUUCAAAUUUAUCGUCUGGCUAGCUUUGUGCAGAAGACUGGCAACAGUGGAGAGGCUGAUGCACUUUGGGAUACAGAUUCCACAACAAUGUGUAUUAUGCAGGCAAAUAGACGAAUCCUUUGACCAUAUUUUUUUUACUUGCCCGACAUCUUGGGAGCUAUGGAAUAGACUGCUAAUAUGGCUAGGAUACCAGAGGGCCAUCUGUGAUUGGAACAGUGAAGUAGAAUGGAUUAGCAACAUUGCAAAAAGGAGAAAUGGACAUGCUGAAAUAACCACCAGUGUGUUUGGAAUGUUAGUAUGCUGAAUGGAUUAGCAACAUUGCAAAAAGGAGAAAUGGACAUGCUGAAAUAACCACUAGUGUGUUUGGGAUGCUAGUAUACUGUCUAUGGCGAAAAAGAAACAAGAUUAGGUUCCAAGGCGGAAGAAUAGGUAUAAAUGAUACAUACAAAGAGAUAGCAGUUCACAUACAUAAACAAGGGACCUCUUUAAAACACUGGAAGGAUGAUUUGCGAAGACUGGAUCACUACCCUUAGAAAUUGAUGUAUAUAUAGAUUACAGGAGUGAAUUCCUAUAGACUGAUUGAGAGCAGUAGCUGGUCAGCAGCUACUUUUAUUUUGUAAUGUUUUGAUCUUUGAUAAAAUGAAGUAUUAAAGUUCCAAAAAAAAAAAGAGCUAAAAUAGAAUAAAUUCGGAGGGUAAGAGCUGCGAUUCGAACUUGUGUCCGUCAAGCGACUGAGCACUAUCAACUAGGCUACAAAAACCACCGUUUACUAUAAAAAUUACUACAAGACAAUACCCUCCUAAAGUUGAAAACCAAAUCAAGCAAUGUUGAUUUUUCUCUCUUUCAAAUCCUCUUUACAGAAUCUAACUACUUCAACAGUAGGGGUGUAUAUAGACCGGGUUGGUUCGGAUUUUACAAUUAUUAAAUUAACCUAAUUGUGUCGGGUUAUUAAAUCUAAAAACCAAACCAAAUCAAUAAAUUCGGAUUUUUCAAUACCGGUUUUUCUCGGAUUUUUUCAGGUUUUCGGGUUUUCGGGUUUUUUGAAACUUUUCCGGUAAAAUCUUCAUAGAACAAAACAUGUAACGUAUGCUCAAAAUAUUUCUUUAAUCCUAGUAAGAUACAACUACAUAAAGUAUUUUCCAAGAAAAUAAUACAAAAUAUGAGAUGUCAUGGCAUUAUUCUAAAAUAUUCAACAAUAUUCAACAAUAAAAUUAUGUAAUGUAAAUAUUGCUAAUUAAAAAGCCAUGAUAGAAAUAAAUAUAAUCUAAGAGUAUUAAAUCAUGCUAUAAUAAGUAGACUAAUAGGGAGUAUUAAAUACAUGGGUAAACGCUAAAGAAAAAAUAAAAAUAGAUUAUGCAUUUUUAUCUAAAUUGUUGCAAACAAAAAAUAGAUAUUCAAUGCAUUUCCAUUCAUUAUAUUAAACUAAAUGUCUUUUGUUAGCAUGAAUAUUGAUUUGAUUUUAGUUUGGGCUUUUGUUAGCACUGUUAAAUUUACUAAUGUUAAUGGCUAUAAAACUUAUUAGAACAUUCAAAAGUUCUAAGUCCAACUUUGAAAUAAUACCUCAAAAAAUAAAAUUAUGAAAUCUUUUAAGAAAUAUUUAUAAAUUACAUCACAAUAAGUAUAUUUAUAUAUAUAAUAUCUCUAAAAAAUUUAUAUAUGUAAUGUCAGGUUGGUUUAGUUUCGAUUUGACUUUCUUUAGUUAAAACCAAACCAAACUAAUUAUGGUCGGGUUUUUUCCAACACCAAACGAAUCAAACCAACCCAUAAUCAGAUUUUUUUCUCUGUUUGACUCGAAUUAUCGAGUUGGUGUAGUUUGUCAGUUUCCUUUGUACAUCCCUAAUUAAUCGUAUCAGAUUUUGUUACACAAAUUGAUACAGUAACUUAAUGAACAAGUUACUAAAUAUGAAUAAUCACUAAUUAAAAACCAAAUCUCGAAUUUUGGCACAACUUAUACAAUAAAACAAUUAAACCUAAAUAUACAUAUUAUUAUAAGCUUUCUUUAGUUAAAAUCAAACCAAACCAAUUAUGGUCGGGUUUUUUUUUUCCAACACCAAAUCAAGUCGAACCAAACGAUAGUCGGAUUUUUUUUCUCGACUUGACUCGGAUUAUCGGGUUGGUGCAGUUUGUCGGUUUUCUUUAUACACCCCUAUUCAACAGCCAUCAUCAUCCACCAGAAAACAAAAAUACAAAUGAAUAACAAAAUAAACAAAAAGUCAAGAGCGAAGAAACGAGCAACAACCAAAUUUGAUUAAUAGGGAGUAAAAAGUUGGACAAGUUAUAUGUGAGACUAGAUUUAAAAAACAUCGGUAGUGUAAAAAUUUGAUAUAUCCAUAAUCGUUACAUAUUAAUUUUAUCUUAUAAAUUACUUUGACCAAGUCAAAAAAACAUAAUGACGUGACUAACAUCUACAAUUUAUAGAAAGAACUGAUUUUUAUGGUCAUCACACGUUGGGUUGGUGUGGGAAUAGGUUUUACAGUAAUAGUUAAAAAGAUUGAGAAUUUAUGUAUAAAGCGUGUGUGAUCGUUUAAUGUAUAAGUUUAUGUCAAAACGAACAAUAUAAAAAGUGUGUGUGACCGUUUAAUGUACAAACUUAACUCAAAGCGAACAAUAUCAUAUUAUAUUAAAAAUAUUAUUGGAUCGUUUUAGCCCAAUAUUAUAUUUCUCCUUUUCGAAGUCUAAACGCCUCCAUCUAGGUUACAACUUACAACCAAGAAUGCCUUCUGUUAAAAUAUUCGGUAGAUUGGUGAAUUAUGUCAAAAGUAGGUUCUAUUACUAUUACAGGAAGUAGAAGCCUGAUUAUUUAAAAAAUAACCCAACACUUUACUGUUCGGUUUCAAAAGUGAGACUUCCUUGCCUGCGUCCCCAUUAACUUCAACCUUUGGUACAAGAACUGCAUUGCCAUUACUUAUUUGCGAAAUGGACCAUACCCUUAUGCUUAGGUUUUUCACAACUGGGAGCAACUUUUGUGAAGCAUGUCAAAGUAGGGUCCUUACUGUUAGGACUGAGAAAAUCAAGUGUCAUGCGGGGAUUUAGUUGACAAACUUAAGACAAUGAUAAAUUCGAUAAGAAAAGAAAAAUCUAUCAAAAGGGACGUAAACAUAUAAUGAUGUUCGGUCAAUUUUGUAAACAUAAACCGUAAUUCAUACCAGGAUAUUGAAUAUGAUAAUAUUACAUAUAAUCAUCAUAGAAAACAUAACUGAAGCGGAAUCCAUAAUCUUGAAGCGGAAGUGUUAGUAGGUAAAUCGGUUUCUCACCCCUUGCCCUAGAUUUACGUUACCGCCAAAUUUAGUGAUGGAAGAGAGGAAAAAAUAUGGGUAACCCUAAUGGGUGGGGAGAGGACCAAUUUAUAGAGGUUCUCACUUAAUCCCGUACGUCCAUCAAGUAACCAAUCGGACAGAUGAGAUUUGAUAAUUAAUUAAAUAUUAAUUAUGGGCCUAAUCUUAUUGGGUCGCACAAACGUAGGAAAUAACUUACAAAUUUGACCUACGUCCAAGGCGGAGAUAGCAAUCCACUAUAAUAAAAGAGAGUACAAAAUAUCGAAAGAACAAUCUCAUGAAAAGGCAAACACAAGUGAUACAGUCACAUUUGUCACGUAAAGUUCUUCCUUAAAUACGACUCUCAAACCCCAUAUGACUACAUUGUAGAUGCUAAUAAAUGAGAAUGAUCGAUUUUCAAUUUAUAGAGCUUCACAUCUUUUCCUACAAGAAAAUAACCAAAUAUAAAAUAAUUAUUCCUUCUAAAAAAAGAAAAAUUCUAUUAUGAUAAAUAUGUUGUCUGAGAUAGAAAAAUAAAUUAUGCACCGAACACUUAUUUGGAGCACACCACAAGUAAUGUCCGGUAAAAACAAUGGUUACUCUAAUUGACUAUUCUAAAUUCAAUUCAUAAUAGUAAGCCUAAAAAACACUUCUAAUAUUGGAGAUUGGGAUAAAGGAAAUGAAAAGAGCUCAUUUUCUACACACAGGACAGUCUUGGUCAAUUGUGGCAUUAAUUUGCUUAAACAUUCAACUAUGUGUGUGUGAAAAAAAAAAAAACCAAUUGUAAAGAACUACCAUUAAUGUUGUGGACACAAUAGCUGUCAAACGUAAAAGAAAUUUGCAUGUAGAUAAUUAUAUCCCAUGGACAAUAGGUGGAACAGUGUCUGAAAUUGGUCCCAGAUCCUUGGUAUAACAGGAAACAAAUUAUAUAUAGCUUAUAUGUAUGGAAGUACCGUCAUCAAUUUUCUAUCUCUUCCCAUGAACUUAUAGCAUAUAUAAAUAUAGCUACUCUGUUAUAGACACUUUACACCCUUGAAAUCAAUAAAGGAUACUACUACAUUAUUGUUUGAUUAUUUUUUACCGUAAUCAAGCUCCUGCUGAGUUGUAACUCUAAGGCAUAGUUCUUAUAAAUUUCGUAACAACAAGAAAAAGUCCGAGUAUUGAUUACUCAUAAAAUUUGUAGUGGAUCCCUGGUUUCUAUGUUUUGAUAAUUAGAUAAGGUUUAUUUUGGAAAACAUACUAUGACUUUAUACAAACUCAAGGCAUUUCCCAUAUUGACUUUUGUUUCCACUAAACCCCAUAGAAAGAAAAAGUUAAAUUCAAGUUUGUUUAAGUGGGGAUUAAACAAAUAGUGUAAUAACUCUAUGGCUGUAUAGAAGUUGCUAACAUUUUGUCCCAUUGAUAACCUUCUUCUAGUUGUAUGGAAGAUGGACAUGUAUUCAAUGUCACUCUGCCAAGACUUGGGCAAAAUAAAUAAUUACAUUCUAAUGUACUAUAUCUUUUUUGGAGUUUUUCCUUUGGAAGAAUGGGAGCAGUGGUUAUUUUAAUAACUUUUCUCUAGGAACAAUAAUAUGGUGUUAUUCGAAGAAGCAAAUUUCAAAUUUGUCCUUGUCUUUGAAUAUGUCGAAUGUUUUAAUUAUUUGAAUAAAGGUAUGAGCCUCGCCUUGCUUAUUGUCUCUAUUCUGGGGGAUAUGGCAAAGGAGGCAUUUAUUUAGUAUAUAUAAAUAUGUAAGGCCAAAGAUCAUUUUUAAUCUGCAUUGGAAAUUAUUUAUAUUUGAUAGUAUAAUUUUUUUAUAUGUAACAUAUAAAAGUGUACUAUAUAUACAUAUAUNNNNNNNNNNNNNNNNNNNNNNNNNNNNNNNNNNNNNNNNNNNNNNNNNNNNNNNNNNNNNNNNNNNNNNNNNNNNNNNNNNNNNNNNNNNNNNNNNNNNNNNNNNNNNNNNNNNNNNNNNNNNNNNNNNNNNNNNNNNNNNNNNNNNNNNNNNNNNNNNNNNNNNNNNNNNNNNNNNNNNNNNNNNNNNNNNNNNNNNNNNNNNNNNNNNNNNNNNNNNNNNNNNNNNNNNNNNNNNNNNNNNNNNNNNNNNNNNNNNNNNNNNNNNNNNNNNNNNNNNNNNNNNNNNNNNNNNNNNNNNNNNNNNNNNNNNNNNNNNNNNNNNNNNNNNNNNNNNNNNNNNNNNNNNNNNNNNNNNNNNNNNNNNNNNNNNNNNNNNNNNNNNNNNNNNNNNNNNNNNNNNNNNNNNNNNNNNNNNNNNNNNNNNNNNNNNNNNNNNNNNNNNNNNNNNNNNNNNNNNNNNNNNNNNNNNNNNNNNNNNNNNNNNNNNNNNNNNNNNNNNNNNNNNNNNNNNNNNNNNNNNNNNNNNNNNNNNNNNNNNNNNNNNNNNNNNNNNNNNNNNNNNNNNNNNNNNNNNNNNNNNNNNNNNNNNNNNNNNNNNNNNNNNNNNNNNNNNNNNNNNNNNNNNNNNNNNNNNNNNNNNNNNNNNNNNNNNNNNNNNNNNNNNNNNNNNNNNNNNNNNNNNNNNNNNNNNNNNNNNNNNNNNNNNNNNNNNNNNNNNNNNNNNNNNNNNNNNNNNNNNNNNNNNNNNNNNNNNNNNNNNNNNNNNNNNNNNNNNNNNNNNNNNNNNNNNNNNNNNNNNNNNNNNNNNNNNNNNNNNNNNNNNNNNNNNNNNNNNNNNNNNNNNNNNNNNNNNNNNNNNNNNNNNNNNNNNNNNNNNNNNNNNNNNNNNNNNNNNNNNNNNNNNNNNNNNNNNNNNNNNNNNNNNNNNNNNNNNNNNNNNNNNNNNNNNNNNNNNNNNNNNNNNNNNNNNNNNNNNNNNNNNNNNNNNNNNNNNNNNNNNNNNNNNNNNNNNNNNNNNNNNNNNNNNNNNNNNNNNNNNNNNNNNNNNNNNNNNNNNNNNNNNNNNNNNNNNNNNNNNNNNNNNUUUGUGAGCGGCUGGAGAUUGUUGGCGUUCGGCGAGGCAGAGGGAGGCCUAAGAAGUAUUGGGGAGAGGUGAUUAGGCAUGACAUGGCUAGUAUGCUGGUUUCCGAGGACAUGACCCUUGAUAGGAAAGUCUGGAGGUCUAGUGUCAGGGUUGUAGGAUAUGGGCUCCUAGAGUUUUUUGUACUCCUCACCCGGGGUUGGGUGAGGCUUGGAGGGCUAUCCAUUGAUGAUUUGUGUUUUGGCUUAUGUCUCCCUUAUUGCUGUUAGUUAUGGUAGUUACUGUAUCAUAUUAUUGCAUGCUAUUUUAUUUAUGU
RNAcentral lists this long non-coding RNA (46049 nucleotides) under Nicotiana benthamiana. RNAcentral describes it as "long non-coding RNA (NBEN_LNC017525)". Lineage: Eukaryota; Viridiplantae; Streptophyta; Magnoliopsida; Solanales; Solanaceae. The record is from RNAcentral.